Molecule: long non-coding RNA, 63445 nt
Filed under: Physcomitrium patens
Lineage: Eukaryota; Viridiplantae; Streptophyta; Bryopsida; Funariales; Funariaceae
Description: long non-coding RNA (PPAT_LNC007775)
Source: RNAcentral
AAGGUCGGUGGCAAUUGGCGGCAGUUUGGUGACAAUUCGGUGGUAUGCGUGAGGCGCAGCAGGGAGGUUGGGCUGGAGCAAGUAUUCUAAACAAGCAAGGCAGAGGGUGGAGUAAGUACUCUAAGCAAGCAACGAAUGUGUGAGGGGCCAGCUAAAAGUGCAUCAAGAUCAUGAGUUAGACAUGGAGCAAGAGUAGCAAUAAGUUUAAAGAGUAGAUCAAAAAACAUUGUGAUAGUGUGUAGAAGAGAGUUGUGUUGAUAAUGUAUUGAGAAUGUUUAUAAAGACACAAGAGUAGUAGUAAGUAAUACAUACUCACACAUACAAGAGUAAUAGUAAGUAAUACACACAAGAGGGUUUCUAAGGAGAGAGCUUCACACAUAAAAAUUACUUGAUCUAGUUGUGUCUUGUAUAUAAGAGGAGAAAUGAAGAAGAUAAACAAUUCUUCUCCACUACAUUCCAAAUACUUUAGCUACAAUAUUUACUAUAGUCUAUAUUAAAUAUUAUGGAGAGUGCCGGCUACAUUUAAUGCUCUCAACACUUUAAAGAUCGAUUUGCUAGUUGUAAGGAUUUCGUUCUUUGUGGCAUAGAAUACGUUCAUUCAAGAUAACUUCAUCCAUCCAUGUUUAAUUUUUAAUCUUUUAUGAAAAACCGAUUAACUUUGAAAGUUAUACUGAGGACAUAUAUAUAUUUCAUACAUUCCUCGAUACAUUUUGCAUGAUAAAUUAUAUUUCAAAAGUACACGAACAUUCCAACAAACAUGUAUCAUUCUUUUUAUCUUUCUCAUUUCCAAAUGACAUUCUAAUGCAGGUUGACAUAUCUAACAGGUUGUAUACAGAUUGUUUGAUUCAUUUCUAUUAUCCAUUUAAUAUCAGUAGAAUUUGGAAUCUAUUUAUAUUUUCAUCAGAAUGAUAAAAAAAGCUUAUACUGAUAAGUUUUCAUGUAUACUAUGCAGUGUGAUCGUGUGGGUGGGCAGUUCCAAUUCCAAACAAUACAAGAAACUUUAUACACAUUUGUGUAUGUGUACAGACACAUACAUACAUACAUUGAUUCUUUCUUAAAUGAGUUUGGUGAAUAUGUUGGAUAUUGAAUGUGUUCAACUGUGCUACUUGGGCCUGAAACUUUAUCCUAUUGCACUAUAUAUCUUUGAACGCAUCAAAUAAUGCAUAUAUUUAGGAGCAAGGCACAACAAUGAAAAUUCAUCAUACAACUAAAGGAGCCCUUGAAAACAUUUGACUAAUCAUUCAAUCAACAAACUAAAAAGUCAAAAACUAUAUAUUUGUUCGAGUGGGAUCCUUACAACAAAAUUAAAGAAACGUUAGUUCAGUCUAAUGAAAUAUAUAAUUUACUCUACUUGGCUUUUUUUUAAAGUAGUACUAGUAACGAUCAUAAUAGUAUUAAUAAUCAUAACAGAAUCACAGACCCUACGGGUUAAUAAAAGAAUUAUUAUGCUAAAAAUGACGUGGCAAGUAGUUGACUUGGGGGGAGGGGGUUUUCGGCGAAGCCGCGCCGUGUCAGUGCAAGCCGAGGAACUGCAGAAUGAGUGUGGAGACUGUCUGCAACCUGGUUGAAUGGGAGGCGCAGUGUACCCAGUGUAUUCAUUUGGCGGCCUUGCCCUCAUGAUCCAGCCCCCUUCUCCUUGAGCUUGCAGGUGUUCUGGCCUCCAUCAAGUCUCUUCUACCCAAUUCCAAACAACCGCGCUCAUCAUCAAUGCAACCCACAAAACAGAAAAGAGCCAUAAAAUCUCGGCGUUUGGGGGUCGAAUGUGGGUGCAGCUCAUCAGAAUCACAGUUGUGGGUAUACCCGGAUCGUCAAUAUUGAAGCAUGAUGAUGUUUGUAAUAAUUCGGGAGAAAAACGAAGACCGGCUCAUUAAAUGGCUCUGAAACAGCGGCAAAAGGGGGUGGGGGGAGGGGGGAUUCAACAAACGUACUUUCUUGUUGGGGACAACUCAGGCUCCGGAGCAGUAGCUCAAGUGUGCUAAUCUGUGAUAGCAGACACGGAAAGAACCCUGGCUUGUUGUCUGGUUCCAUGCUCAGUACUGUGCUUUUUUACCAGACCAGCAGCAUGUAAUCCUUGUACUUCGGCAGACAUCAGAUGGUUUGUACAGAAACCCCUCACAGGAAAUGUCCAUGUUCCAGCGAAUCGCAGAAGAAUUACCGUAGCAUCAAACCUGCAAAUUGCAGGUACAGGUCGUUUCAGAAAACUGCGUGCUCAAUUUUACCGAGCAGAGCAAUCUUCGAUUCGGUUGUGUGAAGCAGGUCAUGCGCCAAACUCUGUCUAUCGCCAUAAGAACAACCAUCUGCUGCACGCGCUUGCACUUGAAUUUUUUUUUUUUUUUUUUUUUUUUUUUUUGUAGAGACUGAAGGAGAACGGCAGUGUAGGGACGUCCUUUAAUCUACUUGGAAAUAAUUGGGUUGGUAUGAGUUUAUCAACCACUGUACCACCGGUCUAAAGAGCAGGUGACAUCAUAGCAGAUCUAUUGAAUGCUUGAUUCAUUACCACUUUUCUAAGUGUGCGCAGAAUUAGAAUCACCAUGGGUCAGUGACUAAAUUUAUAGAGCGCUUCUGGGGAGACGUCCUCACCAGAAAUGCCUUCUCAAACCAUUCACAACUUUGCACCCUCGGUUGACUCAAAAAGAUCAUGCACUAUUGUUCAUAAGCUCAUUGGGUUGUUAAGGUUACGAUAAUUAGCAGUACAACGGCUAGCAUUGCUUCAACCACAGCAUCGAGUCAUUGCAAAGCAGGUUGUUCCAACCACAGCAUCGAGUCAUUGCAAAACAGGUUGUUCCACUGCAUGAAAGCAAGAGCAGGUCAGGAAAAAGGGAAAAGUAGACCUUCAUAAAAUCCUAGGCCAUCUCCUCACCAAAAGCUCAGGAACAGACAAUCGUAAACAUCGAAAUUACGACACAAUCCAUAACAUGGAGGUCCUCGUCUGGCUUGAAGAAAUAAAUUAGAUGGAGCUCGAUUUAAGAGGCAAUAACACAUCUCCAAAUGUGCAGUCGUUUUUCUUUAAAACAUAGACAAGGUACAUGUAAGGAACCCUGGACAAUCACAGCACUUUGAUUUAAGAAUAAUUCCCAACAAACGCAUCUACACUCUACAUGGACUUGCCUUGCUGGAAUUCGAAUGUCCCACCCUGUCCUUGUACCAGAGGUUAACCCUGAUUUAAGUGUUGAUCAAACACUGCCUACAAAUAGGUCUUCAAAAUCUUCUGUUGCAGCAAUAAUAAUCUCAAGAUCUCGCCGGACACCUCAAUUCACUGAUCUACGUUCUGUGAAAAUAUGCAUGCCAAGAAUAUGAAGCGGGAUCAUACACCGAAGCUCUCAUACAAGAGCACAUGCCAAAGGCUCUAAAAUAGUAUUGGUUUUUUUUUAAAUAAAUAAAAAAAAAAAAACCACUAGGACCAAUAAAAUUACAACGCAGAGAAACAUUUGCGUAACAUUACAAACCUGCAUAUCAUCUCGGACCAGAAAGUUCAACAGCAUGAAGAUUCUCUGUGGAAUCUAAAAUCCAUUGUGAUGUUUGGCGGGUUGGCAUAUCGUAGUCUUGCUUCCGAAUAACUUCCACCUUCUGCCAUUCCUCCCAGCGCUCUGCUAGACCAUCUCCUUCCAGAAUGUGCACAACAUCACCCAUUUUUGGCCGAUCUACUGGAGAGCCUUGAGUGCAGAGUAGUGCUACCUGCGCCAGGAAGUAAAUAUUGACACCCAAUAUUUUAGAAAGGUUUCACCUAUUACAGAAUAAACAUUGUAGGUGUAUAGCAAUUUCUGUCGCGACUUAUAAACAAAAUAAAGGAUUUUGGGGCUAAAUUGGGCUAAACAUAAAUGGCAACUAAUAAUGUCUCGACAAAAAGUUCGUUAAGACCUGCUAAUUUUGAAACAGAACGUACUACACAUUUAUCAAUCCGUUAAAUUCUAGUGCACGAUGCCUGCUAAGAACAUGAAUUGAAAAAUUACAUCUACAAUUUUACCUGAAUUAGCUCUUCAACUUCUUCCUCAUCGUAAUUUUUCUCAAGAUCAGGGUCUACCAGAAUAUAGAUCUUAUGUUCCCCCAAUAAAUUUGUCACCUGAUUACAUCGUUCAGAGUGUUGGUCAGAACGAAUCCUUGAACAGAGCUAAUGAACCCAGUGUGUAGCGGAAGUCCCAAGUCUCACCAUCCAUGCAAAUUCGUCGACAAUUCAAGCACACCUCAAUUUCGCAGUAUUAUAUAUCGUGACCUCACCCAAAAACAUGGUAGCAUAAGAUGACCAUUGUAGAUAGUAAUCAUGCACAGCUUACCCAAUCCAAGAGCAUCGCACCACCAGCAUUAGCCAUGCCGGACAAGUCAAAAGCACGUCGCCCAGUGACAAGCUCCAGUAAAAAGAUUCCAUACCCAAAAACGUCCGUCUUCUCCGACGAUUUUCCAGUGGAAAGAUAUUCUGGUGCUAUGUGGCCGAUAGUCCCAACCACAGCAGUCGUGACAUGUGCGUCUUUAUAAUCCAUCAGUUUAGCAAGACCAAAAUCUCCCAUUACUGCUUCAAAUUCUUCGUCCAAGAGAAUGUUGGCAGCCUUAACAUCACGAUGGAUAAUUUUUGGGUCACAAUGAUCGUGCAAGUACGAUAGCCCUCGGGCAGCUCCUAGUGCAAUUUUCUUCCUAGUCUGCCAACUCAGAGGGCGCUCUCCAUCCACACGUUCUGCACAAAUCCACAAGUUCUUGUGAAAAAUGAACUUGUUGCACAAACCUCCUAUUUACAAGAGUAAGAACUACCGAAAUCUUGACCUGAGAGAUCAUCAAGUGUAAUCAGCAAAUUUCUCAGGAUAUAAUGGAAACAGACCUCGCAAUCGAGAGGCAACACUCCCAUUCCCCAUGUACGGGUACACAAGCAACCGUUCGGUAGAGGAAGUGCAGUAUCCACGAAGCCGUAAUAAAUUUCGGUGUACUGCCAUACUAAUCAUCUCAACCUGAUUCGCCAUGCAUCUUUGAUGUUAGAAUCAGAAGCAAUGUCAAGUAGUAAGGGCCUUAAAUCUGCAUCUAAAUCGUGCCGACUGAUAUCACGUAGAGCCUAGAAACUGUGGUCGACUUAGCUAAUUAAGUGCUUUGGCUGCAGGGUAUACCUCAUUUUGAAACUGCAGCUCUCCUCGAGGAGAGCGUUGCUCUUUGAGGCGUUUGAUAGCCACGAGCGUCCCGUCUGCUAAUCGGCCUUUAUAAACCAUUCCAAACCCACCACGACCUAAAAUGUUUCUGUCGCUGAAGUCGUCUGUUGCCACCUGAAGCUCUCUCAGACUAUGACGUCUAAGCUGUCCUAAUUGCAUCUCUGGAUCUUCUUCAGCUGUAAUCAUGAAGAAUUGAUUGUUAGAAUACAUGGACUGAAUAUGGCAGGUUCAGCUGCACCUUAUGGCAUAGUUCACGUACUGAAGAAUAAAGGAUGUAGAACAAAUGUUAUCAUCUAAACUUUCAGACGCCUUCGAAACCAGAACUAGCAGAAAGCAAGCAACUAAUCAACCAAUGACGUAGUCUACGGCCAGUAACUUCAACAGAAGUGGCACUUCAACGAUAGAAACUCCAGAUUUAAAGAUUUGUGAUAGCGCCUCCUCGCUAAAGAUUAUUUCUGACUGAUAAUUCAGUUAAAAGGGACUACUAAUAAGCCUUGGUCACAUAAAUUUAAGAAAGUGUAUCAUAUAGUUACCCUCACUCCUUUUAAAGAAAUACCAUGGUAAAUAAUAAUAAUAAUAAUAAUAAUAAUAGAACCAUAAUCACAAUAACACUAGAAUCUUUUCGAAAACGGUCCUAAAAGCUGCAGAAAAAGUAGAAUAACUAUAGUUUAUUCGAGAUUAGCUUCACAAUCUCAACAGUUACCAGCAACAUCAAAGAAGGCAUCAAGGGGCCUCCGGCGACGCCACCACGCAUAAGCAAUGGCAGGAAUCGAGAAUAACAAAGCGGCACCUGCGGCAACACCACCUGCAAUAGCUCCUGUACUUGUUUGUUGACCUUUCGCUGCAUGAAGCAUGAGAGAAUGUAAAACACAUGCUGUCAAAAUCUACGAAGCCCUAAAAAUGAGAGUGCCGUUCACUUCUUAAGUGUUACCAACCGUAUAUACCAAUACUGAUGAUCAAUACAGAAAACGGUAAUCUAGUACCAAACCAUGAGAAACAGGGAAUGGAAAGGGAAUACACUAACAGAUACCAGGUGCUAGGAUAAUACUACAUUUUCUAUUCAGAUAAAUCUCUGAUCGGACGUCAAUAUUACUGGCCUUUCUAUCAACCCCGUGUACACAAUCAAGUAAUUAAGAUCUGGACCGUUUCCCAGAAUAGUGUACUUCAGUACGAUCCAGACACUACAACGCUCAGGACUUCCCGCAAAUACAUACCCGACUGCCAAUAUGUACUUUGUGGAGGUGGAGGCGUGAACGGAGGAGGAGGUGGGAAUGGGGGUUCUCCAGGGCACGGUUUGCCGACCACUGAUCCGCACAGACCGUCAUUUCCCAAAAAACUGCAUACGACGCAAAUAAUGUAAUUCGAGACCGUGUUCACUAGUCAAAGCAUUAUCAAAUUCAUAGAUCACAUGACACAAGGGGAAAAGCUCAAAUGAUUCCAGAAUCUCUACCUGUUUUCAGAAGUGCCCAUUGAGGCGCCCAAACAUGAGCAUAUGAUGGGCAACUUCACAUACAUUGUUAUUAAAUGUGAAAUUGAUAUAGUUUAAAUCUUGUCAGAUUACCACGGAUCAUCUCAGGUGUUUAAGAUAAUUGUUCAAUGUGGGUCAAGAGACCUGCUUAUGAAGUUGGUGUAAGCUGACGCUAGCAACUUCAAACAGCUGUUAGACUCUGAAGGUGAUUACUGAGGAAAUAGUAAAAGGGAUUGUAGUACCUGAUGGGUGUGAAUAAUGAAAAGGAGCCAUACGUAGGAACGGGUCCAGAUAACUUAUUGUACGAGAGAUCCCUGCACUUCGUAGUAGCAAGAGUUACAAACAAGACUACAAACCCAAAACUACGACUGUAGUGAAUCUGAGUAAAUUUAGGAGAAUCGGGACAACGAGAAAAUGCAGCGAGUAUCAUAACAGGCUCCUAAGAAGAUGAAGACCGUAAGGAACUUACAAGACUUGCAAUCCUUGAAUGGCGGUAAGAGAAGCAGGAAUGGAUCCGGUCAAGCUAUUGUUGUUCAACCGACUGUCCUCGAUUCACAAGACACAUCCAUAUGCAAAAAAAGCCAAGAUUCUUCAGAACCAAGCUCAUAGAGGAGAUAUCGAAGGAGAAUAUAGCAUUACAUUCAAUCUUUAUAGAAGUGCCAUUCUCAAAACUUAAAUAGACUAGAACUUGGUUGAUAAAACACACAUGAUCAUCAAUACCAAUUAUUCUUAACAAGCAAAAGACGGUUAAAGGGCUAUAACAAACUUCCGGCAUCUAACCAACAGCGCAAUUAGUGAGGAUGAAAUCAAAAAAAAUCGCAUUAAGUAAAUACAUCAACACUGAAUGUUAUGAAAACGUACAGAAAUCGGAGAUUGCUCAGCUGUCCAAGACUAUCUGGUAUUGGGCCAGUAAAGUUGUUUUGAUAAAGAUCCAGACUAACAAGAGCACUGAUGUUUCCCAGCUCUUUAGGAAUUUGACCAGUAAUGUUGUUACUAUACAACACCCUGCGAUGAUGAUAGCGAAAAUUGCAUCAGAAAUAAAGAUUCAAAAUAGAAACCAGCCCCUCUUCUUGAAAGGUCGCCUCUCUAAGCAGAUAUCUGCUUCAGUAAGCUUUUCUAUCAUUACGUGUAACUUACAAAGCAGUAAACAUAGAAACGUUUGCGGCUUCCGAUGCCAAUAUAAUAGCUGUCCAGCGUACUCACAGGUAUUGUAGCUUCGUAAGGACCCCAAGUUGCGGCACUAAUGUUCCUGAUAAACCAGCAUUUCCUAAAUCCCUGAAAAGAAAAUUAAAAUUUGAAGUAAAUUUUUUAAAAAAAAAGAUAGAAUCACUUGCUUUGCCUUACUGAGAUUUGCAGCUCUCUCAAUUCUGAGUGAUAUAGUAAUUUCAUAUGAUUAAUAGCACUCUUACUAAAGUCUACGCGAAACAAAACGAAGGAGAAAAAAAAAGACAGUGAACAAUUCACAGAUUCACAUGGCUGCGUGAAGCUACAAGAGUCGGUCCACUCCAAAUUGAAUGUGGUGUGCAUAUGCAAAGACUAAGGAAAAUCAAAUUACGAAAUAUAUGUGUAGAAGUCCAAGUCGUAGAUGCAAUUAGAGGACGAGGUACAAAACAGACUCACACUCGAAUGACGUUCAAUUCGUCAUUGCAGGUAAUAUAAAACCAAGUGCAGGGGUUUACAAGAUCUGGCACCCAACUCUGCAGCACGUUGCCAUUAUCAAUCAAAUUUUGCCGAAAAGCAUUGAGUGCAUCUCCUGCACAGCCAACAUCCCACGCCGUGAUAAGCAGGCUUGACAUAUAAAGAUUCUGCAAUUACAGAACAACUUCUCUAUAUUUGUAAUUAAAAGAAACUUCACUAAGAAGGGUGCGCUUACAGCACCUGACUCGCACAACCUCAAAAUGAAAUGCAUAAAACACAGCGAUUGUUGACAAUAGGAAGCACUACACUAGAUUUCAUACGGAGCCACCACUUGUACGGAAUCAAUUCCACCAGACCAUUUCUACGUUUGUGACUGUAUCACCGGGCGUAAUUCCCGAGUGGGAGCGUUAGAUUAAACUAUAUAGUGUACGCUUCAUCAAACGACUGUAGUAUGCUGAAACCAAGAUAUGCGUAGAAAGGUGUAAAUGCUUUCAUAGACAAAAAAAAAAAAAAAAAAAAAAAAAAAAACGUUAGAAUAUGUAUGUUUGACUUUGCAUGGAAUCCAAAUUGCUUCUAAUCUCUCUCUCACCCUCAUAUCUACGGACAUAGAUUGCAGUAUUCCACGACGGGAGGGAGCGAGAGGGAGAGAAAAGAAAAGAGAGCGAGACUCGGAGAGAACAUUUAUCCUGUGUGAUGCGGAGUAAAUAAACCCUAAACAUAGCUCAGAUUAACAGCGGAGGCAAAUUGUGAGCCAUCCCAGCUGCACAUGAACAACCAGUUGAGUCAACGCUGGGUCCAGCAACAGGCCAGCAUUUCACACCUCAAUAUGACCCACCAAAAUGAUAGUAGUCCUAUUUCAACACACCUGGAAUUGCAAAUCCCACUGGAGCAAUUCACGUGGAAUCUAGCAAUUACGGUCCAACAAUUCCAGGGAAGAGGUCUGUCACUCUGUGCCAACAUCCCCCUCUGGACCCCACAACUACACCAGCUCAAACCACAUAAAAUCUUCUUCAACACUUCCCUUCGUAUGCAUUCGCAGGUUGCCGACUAAACCCGACAUCAUGAACCCCAAAUGGGCAAGACCCAGCCCAGAGUUAGACAGCAACUGACCCUCGACAUUGCCCAAUACUCCGAUGGGCAUCAGCGCGAUUAGGAAGAGAGGGCGCCACCAUGCCACAUCCUCCUUGUGAGGCAUGGCUAAGAGCGUUGACCCUCCAAACCAGACCCACUCUCCAACUCCUUCCUAUACCUGCUGCUCCUCCUACGCAUCACCAUCCCUCGGCAAAAUCCUCGUAGACACACAAACACCUACACAUCCCUUACGCCGUGCUCAACCUCCAAAUCCACCUCCUCCAUUUCACAACUUCCCAGAGAUGCUGCUCCUGAUGCUGCUAAUGGUUCUCCCACUGGACUCAUGUUUCUCUCGACGCAACCCACAUCCACAAGCACACACACAUCGACACCGACUGACUAACUGCUCCUUUCGGCAACGAGUUUCGCAACCUGCUCUUCCACGACCACAUCAAUGCAACAACAAUGUGUCUAACUAAGUUGUGUGGGUCCUGCACAUGAAAUCCAAGCUUCUUCCUUCUUCGUCUUCUUUAGAUGCCUCCAAGCCUUGAAAUCCACGUGCUCCGCCAAGUGAGGAUGAGCUUGGAACCCGGUUUUGAUGAAGAAUUCAAGGAAAUUCCAGCCAUGGAUCUUCAUUUAUCCAUCCGAUAUCUUGCUUCAUGGAUGAAUGAUAAUAAUAAUAAUGCCGAGACUAGUAAAGGUUGCAAUUCCUAAAUCAAUGGUAGACAUGAGAAAGGAUGGUGAAACCCCAAAAAACAAAACAAAGCCAACUUUGUAGUCAUUCUUAUGAUUAUUAUUAUUAUUAUUAUUAUUUUUUUUUUUUUGUUAUUUGAACUAUGGGGAGAAUGGUAUAAUAGUGCAAUUUUCACCAAGAUUGCUUGUGAUUUUACUCAAUUGUAUUGCACUAUAACUUUGGUAACGAGGUUUGGUGGCUUGUUUUUAAAUUUGGGUACUUUUUAUUUUUUAUUUUUUUAAGUGCGAUUAUUUAGUGGCAUGGGAGAAUAAUAAAAAUGUUUUCUUAGCUAGAUGACUUGUGAAUAAAGGAUGUCCAAUUUUAGAUUGCUUGAAAAUUUUUGCUCGUUAAUUUUUAAUAAAUGUAUAUUUACUAGGACUCUGUAUAAUCUUAACAAGUAGAUUGCAUUUAUGUACACUUUCUUUUUUUCCAUUUUAAAAUUAAUAAUUUUGAUCAAUCACAAACAUGUUUUUAUGAACUUUGAGGUGUAACAUGAAUUCUAGUUAAGUUCACUAUUACUUUGUUCAAGAUUUUGAAUUUUGAAGUUACUUGUGACAAUUUCUAAAAAAAAGUCUUUAUUGCACUUGAAUCAAACUCAUUUCAAUUUGUUGCUGCAUGUCUCUCCCUAAGAGAUGUACACAACACAAAAUAGAGUAAAGAUGAUUUUAAAGUUCUGUUCAAUCUUUUUAUUUUUUUUAAUAAUCUUGUUGUCAAACACAAAUUUUUUAGAUCAAUGCAUCAUUCACUUAUAAUCAAUUACAGAAUUAUUUCAACAUUUUUCAAAAACAAUGCAUAAUUUUUUUAUUUUAAAUGUGUGCACAAGGUCAUACAUACUUGCCUUCACAGCAAUUACAUUGCACCAAGUUUGUACAUGCUACACCUGCCUAAUAGUACCACCAUUUUAAUGUCAUAUUUUUUGAACAUUUAAAGUAUAUCAGUUAUUUAAAAAAGUGACCUCCACAUAAAAAUAUGUAAAUCCAAGUACUUAAAACAAAUAAAUAAAUUUAAGAGCUUUUAGUUUUAUCCCACAAAUCCUUAGAAUUGUUGGUUUCUUUGAAGUUCUUUUACUUGUGAUAGUACACGCAAAAAGCUCACUCCAAUGAAAUUUCCAUUAUCCAAUUCAGAAAUUUUUAAUUACAUACAAAAAGUGACUAAUGUUUCACCUUAAUAAAUGCAAAGAAAUCUAUACUAUAUCGAAUAUUACAUUAACUUCGAUUAUUUUAACACUUUCUUUUUAGUAACAAUGCAAUAUGUCUGCACAAUACUCCUAUACCAUAUUUGUGUAUUUGAAACAAUUAUAUUUAAAUAAACAACAUAUCACUUCUGUGUUCAAGCAUGUAUUUUGUGACUGUUUUUUUUUCUUUAGCUUUUUAAGUGUAGGCUUAUAAUCAAGUAUAAUGCUGUGCAACACUUUCUAUCCAGAUUUGGUGACUACCCCCAUUUCUUAUGACUAAAGUGCUACAGAUUUUAUCCCUCUAUUUAUAAAAUAACCGUCCGCAGAACUAAAUAGACAAGAUUUGAUAUCUUUAUUGUGAGUAUUUAAUAAAUAAAACAAAAAUACUGCUAAUUUGACUGGCUACAACAAUAGCUAGAGGAUGGACUUUUUUAUAAUUGUGUUGAUAAAGGGCAAUUGUACAUGUGUUCAAUUUUUUGGUGAACAAAUUUACAUGGUAGCCAUGUAUCACAAGGCAUGCAAUCCACAUCUGAUGUCAACAUGAUAGAGGUGAGGCAUUGAGGUGGGCAAGUUCUUCACAUAUGUGCAAAAUUUGGCAACAAGUACAAUUUAUUAUUUAUUACCCAAUAAAUUCACCAAUAUACAUUUAUUUUAAACAUUAACAGUCCUUAUCUCUGUAGUAGAAGCCAUAGAGCAAUAGGUUUGUAACCAAGAUUUGAACAGCCAUUUUUUUGUUAUCAACCUGCCAUUCUUUGGUGCUUUAACCAAACCAAUCCAUGUAUAUUUUUAAAGUCCUUUUACUAUAACAUAUACACACACAUAUACAUGUCACUUUUAUGUAUAUAUAUAUAUAUAUAUAUAUAUAUAUGUGAUACUUAUAUAUAAAUUUAACAUAUAAUUUAUUUAUUAAUUAUUAAAAUUAAAUAAAUAAUAUAUUAAAUUAAUAUAAAAGUUAUAAAAUAUGUAAAUUAUUUAUUAAUUUAAAUAUUUUUAUGUGAUUUAUUAUAAAUAUAAAUAUAGAUAUUCUUGUUAAAGGAGGAAAUACCUUAUCAAAACUCUAUCAGAAAUUCAGCCGCCAUGGUUUGGAUGAAACUUGUGGAGUGACGCAAGGCAACACGAUGUCGAAUUGGCGGAUGAAAAUCGUUACACAACAUUCAUUCGUCAACCCGAAGCUUCAUGAGCGUGAAGUGACCGUCUUAGCCGGUCGUAGCCGGUGGGAUCCGGUCGUCGCCUUCUUCAUGUUCCACGCUGGUCUUCCGUGAUCGAUGCAGAAUUUGCGUCGAGCUGGCUGUGCCGCUCAUUCUGGGCACAGACGACGAACGUUCAUUCUUCCAGUGUUAGAUUCAUCAACAUGGUGCUGCACCUCCAGGAAAGCCACCAAGACCCCACACAACUGUGUCCAUUCUCUGCUUCCGCAGUUUGAAGCGGAGCUCGGUUUAGGGCUCGAAUUUUGUCAUCGCUUGCAGCUCUGGAUCUGUUUCAACACCGAAGUCGUCGGCUUCUCUAGGCUCCAGGAUCCCUGUCACAAAUUGGGUCGCUGCUGAUUUGUUCCAUCUGGGAGGACCGAGGGAUUCGCGGAGAUUUGUUAUUGUUGUAGCUCAGUUCUGCAUCGAUGGGGUUUGUGGCGUGGUGGUAUGCGUGGACCCAUGCUUUGCUGUACAUGUCCCCAUACGUAUACUCUGCCAUUGGAAUUGCGAUCUCAAUCGGAGUGUCCGUGCUCGGAGCUUCAUGGUACCUGCUCUUUCAGCUGUGGUUGUCUAUUUGGGUUUUGAUUGCUUGUGUUAAACGCAAGCAGAGUCCGAAUUUCUCGAUGUCGGAUUCGUAGUGUGGUUAUUUUAGGUUAAUGUUUGAAGUUGAGGAGCGAGACCUUUGAGGUGGAUGAACGAGGUCAGAAUUGCGAUGGUGGUGGGGUUUGAGUGCAAGUUGAAGUGGUAUUAUGUGAUUGCUAGCCUAUGUUUUCACCAGUUGCUCGAAUCUUGCACGUAAGUGAGGUUUAGCUUGUAAUCGGAAUUUUCUGUGUUUGGGAAUGCUGGACAGGGGAAUUUAUAUCACCGGGAGCAGUCUCAUAGGUGCAGCAAUCAAGGCUCCUCGGAUCACGUCAAAGAAUUUGAUCAGGUAAAUUGAGGGAUUUGGAGUAUUAGGGUAUUCAUUUAUUUGUUUGUUUGGUCCUAUUGUGUUGGUGGUUUUGGGUACUGAAUUAGACAGUGUUAUGUCCACCACUGACCGGAGUUGUAAGAAAGUCUGCAGCGUCAUUUUCUGCGAGGCGGUGGCUAUCUAUGGAGUGAUCGUAGCCAUCAUACUGCAGACCAAGUUAGAGGCCACAAAACAACCCUUUCACCCUGAUUCUAUGCGUGCUGGCUACUCAUUGUUCGCUUCAGGAAUCAUCGUUGGAUUUGCAAAUCUACUUUGCGGGUUAGUCAUUGCCCUUAAACGUAUGAAAUCUGUAAAUUAUAUGUUUCGCGUUUAAUUGCCAGUUUUAUGUAUCGAAAGUAUAGAAUUCAUUUCUAAACGCUUGUUUUUGGUAUAUAUUUGUAAUGCUCGUGUCUGAGAAUGCAUUCAAGUUCGGAAUGCUCAUUUUGAUUUGAAGAUUAAUUAAUGGUAUGUCUUAUCUUGCGGCAUGGUAAUCCAAUCCGUCAUUGAUCCUGAAGCUGUUCAUUGGUUGUCCCGUUUCCGAGUGCAGGCUUUGCGUGGGUAUCAUAGGCAGCAGCUGUGCACUUUCAGAUGCUCAGAACUCUACAUUGUUCGUCAAGAUUCUGGUUAUCGAGAUCUUUGGCAGUGCUCUAGGUUUAUUUGGAGUUAUUGUAGGCAUCAUCAUGUCGUCUCAAGCUACAUGGCCUACAGCUGUAUUAGCGUGAAACUUUUUUGCGGUUAAUUGAUUGUUAUUUUGUUGCCUCAUCUGCAAAGAACGGAAAUGGCACGCCAAGCUUCAAGUGGGUAUAUAUUUUUAUUAAUUUUUCACUGAGGACAGUCUUCCCAUGGACCAUUAGUUGGAUUCUGGUGCUGCUUCUUUUUAUUGAUAACAACUUAGUAGGGUCCAAAUAGCGUGAGAGUAAUUGCUCAUCUCAUGAAUUUUUACGUUCUUUUCUUCCUUGCCCAUAUGUGUUUUAGAUCGAUGUUGAAAAAUUAAGUAGAUUUAAUGUUCUAAUCAGAUGCUUAAUUAUUGCACUGCCAUAUUUGGGACAAAUGUGCCUGCACUUGUACGGGAAGUAUCUUGGCGCCGAGAAGUAUGGAAGAGAAUUUCUUGAUUAAUUUUUGUGUCAGUCUUUGAGCAUUUUCACAUGUAAAUUUGAGGAGUUGCAAAUGUAUUGUGAUCCGGUUUCCAUUUCUACAAUCUGAUCAUGUAAAUUCCUUUUGGGAUGUUCAUUGAUGUGGCGAAUACCUUCGCGUGGAGUAUUGAAGAUUUUUUGACGAGGUGCAGGUAACUUCGAAAACCUGUGUUCUGUGGUAACUACGUAUGAGUGUAUUUUCUGCAUUUGCUUAACUGUUGCGUCCAUGUGUGUGGAGCUAAUAGGAAAGCGUUCUUCCAACAACACGGACGUUGUAAGUCUUAUUCAGGGUUUGCCACUGAUGAAGUUGCAGGGUAAAAUUUGAAGAUGUGAGGUCCUCUGUCCAUUUUCCGAUUGAAGUAUUUUCUUGAAGAGUUUAGCAAGAAUCUAUGGGAAGCAGUAGUGUCCGAGGAACAUGCGAGGCAUGCCGUAGAUCGGCUCCUUAGCUUGAUUUCCUGAUUUCAAUCAAAUUCCUCACUGAAAAGGAGUGUACUUAAAGUAGAACGUGAAAAAUAAUAAAUCAUGAAGAUAAACAGUCCCAUAAGAAUAUCUGAUUUUAAUUAAUAUUUCAUGUAGAUGUCAAUCACUGCUUCAUCAGGCAUUGACGUUGCAGUACAAAGUUGUAACCUCACCAACCAAGUGGUUGAAAAUUACCGUUGAGCUCAAUUACAUGGUUCUUGCAGUGAUUAGAUGUUCUUAAAACUUCACUAUGUUGCAUUUCAAUGUUGCUUUCAAAUGUGCAAUAAACACAAUAUUGUUUUCUUUGAACAAUCGAUAGUCUUGUGGUUUGGUCUUUAUUGAUUCAACUAUGAUUUGUUUGAUUUUUGUUUCUCUUUGUUUGUAUGAUCAAUUUAAAUCAAAUUAAUUUUGAUCUUAUGAUUUGUUUGGUUUUUGUUUCUCUUUGUUUGUAUGAUCAAUUUAAAUCAAGUUAACUUUGAUCUUAAGAUUUGUUUGAUUUUUGGUUUUCUUUGUUUGUAUGAUCAAUUUAAAUCAAGUUAAUUUUAAUCUUAUGAUUUGUUUAAUUUUUGUUUCUCUUUGUUUGUACGAUCAAUUUAAAUCAAAUUAAUUUUGAUCUUAAGCUUUAAAUGAUAAUUGAGGUUGUUUAGAUUAAUACUGAAUUCUUAAAUUAUUAGAGUUUAAUUUUACUAUUUGUAGAACAAAACUCAAUACCAUGCUUAUUGCAUUUCAUUACAAAGUCAAUUGUUAAAUUUGAAGUUUAGAUGGAUUUAAUAUCAAUUUUUUGAUUUUGCAUUACUAUCCAUGAAAGAAAUGGUAUUUAAGUGAUGUAUCAUUCUACUUGAUAUUAGGAGGUUUUAGAAUAAAAAGAGGCAUUAGAGAAAAUUUCAUAGAGAAUUGAAAAUCUAAUAGAAGAGAGUCAAUACACAAAUCAUUAAAGGAUGUAAUUUGUUAGUGGGAUAAAAUAAAGAUGGUUUAUAAUUUUUAAAGAAUAUUUAUUUAAGGCUUAAAAGUGAAUUAUAAAUAAAAAGGCUCUACUUAAAAUUGUUGUUGUUGUUGUUGUUGUUGUUGUUAUUUGUUUAUUCUUUUAUUUUAUUUUUUUGUUUUUUUUUAUUUGAGCUCUUUUAUUUAUUAUAAAAUAAAAAUUAGAUAAGAAAAAACAAGUAAUAGUUGUAAUUUUAGUCAAAAGUGAAGCAUUCUAUUGUAGGAGAUAAGUUCCUAUAUAGUUUUAUAUAUUGUUGUUUGAAAUAUUUCUAUAAGCUACCAUAUUCUUAUCUUAUUUUUAUUUUUUGAAUCAACCAUUGUUGAAUUCCAUGAAGUCUUGCUCAAGAAUGCACUAGGCACCUGGUUGUGGAAGGUAGAAUGGAAAUUGCAACAACAAAAUCCUAACUCUAAUAGAAUAAUAAAUAAAUUCUAAUUAAACCUUAAUAAUGCUAAGCAAGCUUUAAUCAAAUUCAAAAGAAAUCUUAAAGAAAUUAUAAAAGAAACAAUAAAAAAUCUUAAAGGAAUUCAAAAAAAAAUCCACAUUAAAUCUUAAAAGAAUCCCUAAGAAAUUCUAAAGAAAUAUUAGAAUAAUCACAAAUAUAUCUUAAAUAAAUCUCAAUCAAGUCCUAAUUUAAUCCUAGUUGAAAUUCUAAUGGACUUCAAUCAAAUCCUAGGCCAAAUCCUAAACCCUAAGCAAACUCUAAAUCCUAAGCCUUAAGCAAACUUUAAACCUUAAAUCCUAAGCAAAUCCUAAUUCCAAUUCUAAAUCCUAACUAAAAUCUAAUCAAACCCAAAACCCUAAUUGAAUCCUAAUCCUAAAUCAAACCCUAACCAAAAUCUAACCAAUUCAACAUAAUCCUAACACAAUUUAGAACCUUAAUAUCUAUCGAUUAAAAUGUUGAUCUUGCUUAGAAUUUUAUACACUUCUGAAUAAUUAAGUUAGCAACAACCAUACAAAAUUUGAAGAUAAUUGCACUUACCAAAUGGAAGGAAAUUCCUAAAAUCUGCUUGGAUAUUGGUCGGCCUCCUACUCAAAUCUGAAUAUUGAGCUUCCAACGCCAAUAUUUCUUUUUUUAAAUUAUUAAAUUAUUUUCAAAUUUUCUAUAUGUAUAGCAAAUCAAGUCUAUUACCUUUAUAUACAAAUUUCACUCCAAUCCAAGUAGUACAUUGCUGAAAAUCUUAGAAACCCUAAUUGCCUUUCAAAGUCCAAUUUCUAAGACCUCAACCUAUUUGAAAUUCAAUAACCUUCUAUUCAACCAUUCAAUCAAGCUCAAACUUAUAGCAUACACUUUGGACAACUAUUCACAUAAGUUCUCAAAAUUUGAACUAUUGAUCUACUACCAAACUCACUAAAUUCUCCAAAACGUAAUAUCCUUUCUACUUCACAAAUUCUAGAAUCACCUAAAACAAUUGUGAUUUUGCAAAGCUCUUACAAAGUCAUUAUACACUCAAAUCACUCAAAAUCAAUGUUUAAAGAAACCCUAUCUAGUUUUCUCUCAAAUCUUAUUCUUCAAUCUCCAAAAGAACUCCAAAAUUUUCAUAGGUGCCUAGUUUUGUGCAUCAAGGUUUGAUUUUGAUCUGAGUUGAUAACUGGUCCUUACAAGAUAUCAAAUUUUAUAAUUUUGAGUUAAUUUUUGCUAAAAUCAGCUCUUAACUUCUUCCUAUAUAUGCUCAUAUCUUUUAUUUUUCUAAUCUACCUUGUUUUGCCUUAUUUAUGGCCUUACAAAAUAAUUAGAAGUCUACUUUGCAAAAGAUAAUAUUUACAUCUUUAGUUUUACUUUCUUUUGGAUUAUUGUCUAUUUUCUAAGAUAAUUUGUUACAAUAUUUGAAGUAAGAACUUCUAUAAUAUAAUAAUUUCUUCACCUUUUCCACUUAUUAGUCAUGUUAUAUCAUGACACUAUUCAAAAAGAGUUUUGUAAAAAUAUUUAUAAUAUCACUUUGUGUCACGGACAUACAUAUAAUUACCUAUAUGAAUAGAUAAAAGUAUGUAAAAGUAGGUUAAUUGUGUAAUAUCUUCUAGAGAAGCUUCUUAGAAGCUUCAUAGACGCUGCUUUGACUUUAUAGGAGUCUAUAGUUGACUUUUAGGUUAGAAACUUGGUCAACAAGUUAGCCAUGUGCCACGCAUGUUGGAAGCUUAAAGAACAAGCUAACUACGUGGUCUAUCCAUAGAAAACUUGCCUUGCAAGCAAAGGCAUGUGGCCUAGAAAGUCAACAUAUAUUGGAGGUCUUAUAGAACAUCGCCACGUGGCUUCUAGUUAGAUAGUAUAUAUAGAGGCAAGAGUGAAGCCCUCUUCACUCUUGUCAACUCCUUUCUUGCUUCUAGUCUAGUUUCAAGGGUCUCUAGUUUUCUUGUAUUUUGGCAAUAGCCAUUCCAGUUUCUUUCUUAAUAUACAUAUUUCUAUUUUGUCCUAUUUCUUUUUGAGAAAAAUCUCACUUACUCUUUAGCUUUCAUCGAGUUCUUGUCCUUGACAGAUUGACAAGAGUACACUUACAAUAUCAGAGCUUUGUCUUUUCUUGAUUAAGAGUGGAUUACCCCUUUUUCUUGAUAAGACAUAAGCGCAUUAGAAGUUGCGGAUUACCCUCUUUUAAACUGAUAUUGUUCUUAGUAUUUUCUUUGUUAUCAAUUCCUCUCUUCUAUUUGUUUUGAGCGUUGUUAGACAUCUUCUCUUUUCUAAGUGCUACUAUGGCAGAGCUUGUUGAAAUGAAGAGUGCAAUGGCAGAGAUGCAAGAACAAUUGAGGGAGUUAAUGCUUGCGAUGCAUCAACUCAAUUUACCACCACAAGGAGCAACAAGAAUGGUAGGAAGUGAAGAUAUAGAGAUGAUUGGGGCUGCUUCAACAUCUGCACCAAACCAUGUCCCUUCUCCCAGAAUGGAACACCCUUCGAGUGUUAGAGAACCGAGAGUUGCCUUGCCUGAGAAGUUUCAUGGUACCAGAUCCAAGUUUCGAGGAUUCAUCAAUCAUGUCCAACUAGUGAUUGAACUUCAACCCCAGAGCUAUCCAACUCCAGGGUCACAAGUAAGAUUCAUUGGUACACUUCUUUCAGGUUCAGCAUUGUCAUGGUUUUCAUCUUUUCUUGAACGACGAGAUCCAAUAUUGGAUAAUCUGGAGGCUUUUUUGGCGGAGUUUCGAUCCAUGUUUGGAGAACAUGAUGCAAUUCGUGUUGCAACCAACAAGAUCCGUAUUUUGCAACAAGGCAAUCGAUCAGUAACAUUAUAUGCUUCGCAAUUUCGACAACUUGCAACUGAUAUCAAGUGGGAUGAUGCCGCAUUUGUGAGUCAAUUUCUCUACGGAUUACAAUAUGAGGUAAAGAAAUUGAUGCUUAAUUUACCUGAUCCUCAAACAUUGAGUCAAGCAAUUGACUUUGCUGUGAAGUGCGACAAUCGACUUUUUGAAUUUCGAUCCCAGAGUCGCACAAGUGGGCCUCAACGUUACUACAAUUCAAUGGCAACACCGACGUCUCCUCAACACAUACCUUUGGAAGUAGAGGAUAUGCAAAUUGAUGCGGUACGUUUCAAACCUCUUACUGAGCAAGAAAAGUCUCGUCGUCGACAAGAAGGAUUGUGCUUAUAUUGUGGAGAACCUAAGCACACUGCUCAACAUUGUCCAAAGAAGCGACGUAACUACAAAAUGAGGAGUACGGCUGUCAAAGAAGACAGUAUGUCGGAAAACGAGUACGUCCAGCUACAAUAGGGACCGUGCGGCUGGAAUCUUGUACAACUUCUAAUAAAGGUCCUAUCCUCUCCUCAAAACCAUCUCCUUGUUUUAUAAUAGAUGUGCGUUUAGGACCUAAUAAUUACAAAGCCUCUGCCUUGGUAGAUUCAGGAGCCUCAUCUUGUUUUUUAGAUGAAGAAUUUGCUAGAUGUCAUAGAAUAUCAUUAAUACAAAAAACUAAACCUGUACACGUAGAAGUCAUAGAUGGUCGUCCGUUGUCUUCUGGAGAUGUAACUCACGAAACACUUCCUGUAGAUGUAGUAAUAAAUGGUCAUAGUAGUUGCGUAAUUUUUAAUAUAAUUAGAUCUCCCUCUAAUCCAGUAAUUUUAGGCUUAUCAUGGUUAGAAAAGUAUAAUCCUCGAAUAGAUUGGAUUUCUCGUAAACUUGAUUUUCCUCAGAGCAUUAGUAACAGUUCUAUUAACCAAGUAAAAAACCAUGAGUCUAGUAUAGUAAAACUCACACCUAUAGGUGCAAAAGCAUUUAUACACGCACCAAAAGAAGGAUCAACUUUUGCUAUUUAUGCUGCACCUAUUUCUGAAAGCGUAAAGACUUCAAGUGGCAUUCCAAGUCAAUAUCAGGAUUAUCAAGACGUUUUUGAGAAAAAGAAUGCAGAUAUUCUUCCUGAGCAUCGCCCAUACGAUUGUUCAAUCGAUCUCAAGGAAGGAACUCAGCCACCAUUUGGACCAAUUUACAGUUUAUCGCAAGAUGAGUUGGCUGAACUCAAGACAUAUAUUGACGAGAAUUUAGCGAAGAAUUUCAUACGCCAUUCAAAAUCUCCAGCAGGAGCUCCAAUUUUAUUCGUAAAGAAAAAAGAUGGAUCUUUACGAAUGUGUGUUGACUAUCGAGGACUCAACAAGAUCACAAUCAAGAACAGGUAUCCAUUACCUUUGAUAUCAGGACUCCUUGACCAGUUAAAUCAAGCUAAGAUCUAUACAAAAAUAGAUCUAAGAGGAGCAUAUAAUCUAGUACGGAUCAAAGAAGGAGAUGAAUGGAAGACUGCGUUUCGAACCAGGUACGGGCAUUUUGAAUAUAAUGUCAUGCCUUUUGGACUCACGAAUGCACCAGCUGCUUUUCAACAUCUCAUGAAUGAUGUAUUUCGUGAAUUCUUAGACAAUUUUGUCGUCAGCUACCUAGACGAUAUCUUGAUUUAUUCUAAGAAUGUUGAAGAACAUGAAAUACAUGUUCGUCAAGUAUUACAAAAACUCAGAGAUGCAGGAUUGUACGCCAAGAUGGAAAAGUGUGUAUUUCACACUACUCAAGUUGACUUUUUAGGAUACAUCAUUUCAAAUGAUGGUCUUAUGAUGGAUUCUAAGAAAGUCCAAACAAUCAUGGAUUGGAAGAUUCCAAAGACUGUAAGAGAUGUCCAAUGUUUCUUGGGAUUUGCCAAUUACUAUCGGAUCUUCAUCAAAGACUUCUCACGAGUUGCAGCUCCACUUACACGCUUGACUAGUAAAGAUAAAUUCCAAUGGAAUCAAGAAGCGGAAGCAGCAUUUGAAGCCUUGAAGACAUCGUUUGUCUCUGCACCAGUCUUAUAUCGUGUAGACUUUUCCAAGGCAUUUUUUAUGGAAACAGACGCAUCGGAUUUUGCCUUGGGUGUAGUUUUAUCACAAAUGGGAAUAGAUGACAAACUUCAUCCGAUAGCUUUUCAUUCAAGAAAAUUCUCAGCAGCCGAGAUCAAUUAUGAAAUCCACGAUAAAGAACUUCUUGCAAUCGUGGAUUCCUUUCAAGAAUGGCGUCAUUAUCUAGAAGGUGCUUCUAGUCCAGUCACUGUGUAUACAGAUCACAAGAACCUCGAGUAUUUCAUGUCAGCACGCGUGUUGAAUCGUCGUCAAGCUCGUUAGAGUAUGUCUUUGUCAAGAUUCGACUUCAUUAUCACUUAUCGGCCAGGAAAACAACAAAGUUUGUCCGAUGCCCUGUCUAGACGUUCUUAUUUUGCACCAAAAGAAGGAGAUGCAGCUUUUGAGCAACAAAGAACGGUCCUCUUGAAACCGGAGCAAUUUCAUCUCCGAGCAGUGAAAUCAACAUUGACUGUUGAUUCAACUUUUCUCAAGCAAAUCCAGUCCAGUAUGUCCUCAGACCCUCUUGUUCAUGAUAUCGAGAAUAAUUCUUUCAAGUCUCAUGAUUCUUCUAAGUUCGAGUUCAAGAAUAAUCUAUUAUAUUUUGAAGGACGCCUAUAUGUUCCAGAAGGAAAAGCACGUUUGCGUGUUCUUCAAGCACGUCAUGACUUUCCAGCAGCAGGUCACUUUGGAUAUAAUAAGACUCUGGAACUCAUAUCAAGAGAUUUUUGGUGGCCACAAAUGUGGAAGUCAGUCAAAGACUUUGUACAAUCAUGUGAUAUUUGUUCAAGAUCAAAAAUUCCUCGACAUCGACCUUACGGACUUCUUCAGCCAUUACCUAUACCAGAACAACCAUGGUCUUCUGUUUCUAUGGAUUUCAUCACAGAUCUUCCAAACUCAAGAUCUUAUGAUUCUAUAUUUGUGAUAGUAGAUCGUUUCACCAAGAUGGCACAUUUUAUGCCAUGUACAAAAUCUAUCACAGGUGAAGAAACAGCUAAGCUUUUCAUUGAUAAUAUCUAUCGCUAUCAUGGAUUACCUAAAGAUAUCAUAUCGGAUAGGGGAACUCAAUUUGUGUCGAGAUUCUGGAGGACUCUUUUUAAGAUUUUAAAAGUGGACAUAAAGCUAUCUUCAGCUUUCCAUCCUCAAACUGAUGGACAAACAGAGCGCGUAAACCAAGUCUUGGAACAGUAUUUAAGGUGUACCAUCAACUACCAACAAGAUGAUUGGACAAACCUUCUGCCAUUGGCAGAGUUUGCUUAUAAUAAUACGGUACAUUCCUCCACGCAACAAACACCUUUCUUUGCCAAUUAUGGCUAUCAUCCACGACUUGAUACUUUUGAUUUUUCAAAAGUUGAUAAUCCUGCAGCAGAAGAUAUGGCAAAUCGGUUGUCAGAGUUACAUGCAAUAAUGAAGGCGCAGUUGAAGAAAGCUCAAGAACGACAAAAGAUAAAUGUAGAUGUAUAUCGUAAAGAGCAACCACAACUCAACGUGGGUGAUAAGGUAUGGCUACUUCGUCGCAAUAUCAAGACCACUCGACCUUGUGACAAAUUGGACUAUCGUAGGCUUGGCCCCUUUUCUGUUUCUGAACAAAUCAACCCAGUUGCAUAUCGGUUACAUCUACCGGAGUCAAUGAAGAUCCAUCCUGUAUUCCACGUGUCUCUUCUUGAACCAUAUAAGACAGUGGAUAUACAAGAAAGAAGACAAAUGCCACCGCCUCCUAUAGAAGUAGAUAAUAAUGAAGAAUUUGAGGUGGAAGAGAUAUUAGACUCAAGGCGGCGCCGAAAUAAGCUGGAAUAUCUUGUUCAUUGGUGCGGAUAUGAUAUUAGUGAGCGCACAUGGGAGCCAUCCAGGAAUCUAGCAAAUGCAUCAGCUAAAGUCAAAGUUUUUCAUCAAUGACAUCCAUCAAAACCAAGAUGAAAACCUCUCUUAUAAAAGAGACAAGAUUGAGGCAAGAUAACAUUCAAUUUCCUAUCCUUGUUUGUAACUUCUUUGCAUUUUGUGACGCUAAUUAGAUGGAGAGCCAACAACCAGCGGAUUCAAUUCAAGAACCUUCGUUUGCUGACUUACCGGAUGAGACAUUGCGAUUGUCACAACCUUCAAGACGACGCAACCGAAAUGAAGACCCUUAAGAACGACAUGUUCUUCCUCGAAUAGAUGAUGAGAUACAACGCGUUUGGUAUCACGACCUUGGAAGAGAUUCUUGAUGUUUGGUGAUAUUAUUGGAGAUAGGAACGACUCCUGAUGGUGUUUCAAAUGUAUUAUUUGAAGGAAGUUAUGAAGGCCUCAACAGUGAUCAAAUAACAGGGUGGUCUUCUCGCCCUGGAAUGGGACACUAUCGAUGGCUAAGAGGACCCAUCAACUAUCUUCGAAGAGAACAAAGAUCAGAGUAUGUAGCAAAUACAAUUCGCCGCAUAUUAGAUUUUUUCAAUAUAUAAUCACCGCUCCUCGUGGAACUCGUCCCUAGAAGGGGGGGUAAUGUCACGGACAUACAUAUAAUUACCUAUAUGAAUAGAUAAAAGUAUGUAAAAGUAGGUUAAUUGUGUAAUAUCUUCUAGAGAAGCUUCUUAGAAGCUUCAUAGACGCUGCUUUGACUUUAUAGGAGUCUAUAGUUGACUUUUAGGUUAGAAACUUGGUCAACAAGUUAGCCAUGUGCCACGCAUGUUGGAAGCUUAAAGAACAAGCUAACUACGUGGUCUAUCCAUAGAAAACUUGCCUUGCAAGCAAAGGCAUGUGGCCUAGAAAGUCAACAUAUAUUGGAGGUCUUAUAGAACAUCGCCACGUGGCUUCUAGUUAGAUAGUAUAUAUAGAGGCAAGAGUGAAGCCCUCUUCACUCUUGUCAACUCCUUUCUUGCUUCUAGUCUAGUUUCAAGGGUCUCUAGUUUUCUUGUAUUUUGGCAAUAGCCAUUCCAGUUUCUUUCUUAAUAUACAUAUUUCUAUUUUGUCCUAUUUCUUUUUGAGAAAAGUCUCACUUACUCUUUAGCUUUCAUCGAGUUCUUGUCCUUGACACUUUGUACUAAAUACACAAUACAAUGUAAUAAGCUAUGGAUACUUAUAAACUUGUAUUACAAAGUUUUUGAUUCUAAAUCAGUUAGUUAUAUUAUUUUAGGUAUAUUUGCUUAAUAAUUUGGUGAAAAUAUAUGGUUAUUCCAUUAAAAUAAUAUAACCAAUUGAAUUUAAGACAAACUAGAUUAUUUUAGGCUUAAUUUGUUUAUUAUCUAAAAAUAAAUCAAUCUAAUUGCAUAUCAAUUGCAAUCACCAUAGUUGAUGAACAUGCUUUGUAUAUCUUAUGUGUCUCUUAAUGAGUCUUAUAUUAAUAUUAAUAUAUUAGAAAAAAAUUAGUUACUACCACCUCUUAUUGAAAUAGAUAACAAUUAAGAAUUUAAAAUGGAAAAAAUCUUGGAUUCUAGGAUGUGCCAAUUUAAAUUAGAAUAUUUUUUCUAUUGGAAUAAAUUUAAUAUUAAUGAAUUAAUAUAGGAGCCAUAUAAAAAUCAUGCUCUAUAACUCCUUCAUACAAAUUCUAAAUGCAAAAAUUCUUUCAUAAAAGAUAUAGAUCUUAAAAUCAUCCUUGUAGAUGCACCUCUUGAUCUCCAAAAUCUAUCAUAAAACUCUUUAUAUACUCAAAAGAGCAACAAUAUGACUUAAAAAGAUACUUUAACUUUAACUAGAAAUAACUUCAUCAUCUUAACUCCAAAUCCUCUAAACUUUGUACACAAAUUGUAGUUCAAAUCCUAAACCUUAUAAUUCUUGCUUUUGAUUUUUGAAUUUUCCUUCUAAAAUUGCGAAAACCUUUGUUAUGGUUGCAAAAAACCUACUGAAUGCCUAUUAGACAUGUGCUUUGACCAAUAGAGAUGAAGAUCUUCAUCUUUUGCCUUCAUCCAUCCAUGCCUUUUUUUCAUCACUCCAAAUAAGUUUUUUAGAGGUUUGGAUCUUUAUCUUUUAGUCCCAAUCUUUUUCUUAAAUUAUAUAUUAAAUAUCUAAAUCUUAUAUAAUUUAAACACUAUAAUCAAUAUAGGUAAAUUUUAAAAUAUAUUUUUUUUUAUAUCAACUCUCUUUAAAUUAAUCUACUAACUACUCUAAUGCACAUCAACACUUAUAAAUACAUUAUAUAUUUUAGUUAAUUUUUACAUAUUGUAAAUAAUUAUAAUAUGACAAUAUAUUUUGUAUUUUAAUCUUGAUUUAAGAUUGACUUGGUUAUUUGUAAUUGAUAAUUGACAUUAUUGUUUCUAUCUAUCUUAUAUCUAUUUCAUAUUUAUUUACUUUUUCUCUUUCAAUGACUAUCAAGGAUAUAAAUCUCAAAAAACCAAAAGGAUCAAUAUACUCUUGUAUCACUCAAAUAGAUUAUAUAAUCACUCAAAGAUGCUAUAAUAUUAAAUUAGAAUGGCUAUUGCCAAAGAUAAUAUAAUUAGAGUUUCUUGAAACAAUAUUAAAAACAAGAAAGGUGUUGAUAAGAGUGAAGAAAGCUUUACUCUUAUCUCCAUAUACUAUCUAUGUAAGAACUAUGUAGCAAUGUUUUGUAGGACCUCCAAUACAUGUUUAAUUUGUGAGACACAUGUCUAACUUGCAAGACAAGUUUUCUAUAUGUGUUCCACAUAGUUAGCUUGUACCAUAAGCUAUCUACACUUGAGACACGUGGCUAACUUGUUCAGCAAGUUUCUAACCUACUAAACAACUACAAAUACAUCAAAAGUCAAAAGCUUCUAAAAAGCUUUGCCAUAAAUAUUAUCAAAUCUAUCUAUCUUUACCUUAAUAUUUCUUAUUUAGGCAAAUAUAUAUGUCUAUGAAAAUGAUAUAAGAGUGUAUGUUUUUUCUUAAAAUUUUAUCUUGAUUCAUAAUUUUGACAAUAAUAAUAAAAUGAAACAAAAUUAUUUUGUGUAAUAAUGAUUCUUACUAUAUUAAAUAAACUUAUAUGCUAAUAUAAUAAUAGUAGUUUCAAUGAUAUCUACAACCUAAUGAAAGUCACUUAUACAUUAAAUAUAAUUUUAUAUUUUAUAUUAUUUUGUGGCACUUUAUCAAAUAAUUUGUUAUUUUUUGAUAGUUAAAAUUAAAAUAAUGAUUUUAUAUAUAAAAAUAUAAUAGUCUCAAAUAUAAUAUUUUUUUUAGAAAUUCAUGUUUUAUAGAGAAUCGUUUUAAAAUUGGCCAAAUUUAUAAAGUACAACAUCCUAACAAAAUUUAGGUGGUAAUUGCUUAAUAUGGCUUAUAAAUAUAAGUUUAUGUUUUUAUCUUUUCCAAAAACUUAUAAAAAGACUUUGGAGAUAUUUAUAAACAUUCUUAGAAUCUUUUGUUAGAGUCAAAAUCAAAUUUAAAUAAAUAUUUUUUUUUUAAAAAAUUAAGCAUAAUGUAAUUUGCAUGUAAAAAAAAGGUAUAAAAAACUUAAGUCAAAAAAUAAAUUUUUAAUAUAAAUUUUAUCUUUCUAUUUUAAAUAGCUAUUAUUAUUACUUAAAAUGUUAAGAUUUUUGGAUAUAUCCAUUUCAAUAUUAUUUCUUUUUAUAACAAUAUUUGUUAAUGUUCAUAGUAUCUUUUAUAAAAGAAAUAUUAUCUAUUUACAAAGAAUUCUUAAGUAAAUGAAUCAAUAAGAUGCAAUAUUUCAAUAUAAAUUUUAGUAACAUAUGAGAGGAAAAAUUAUGAAAAAUAAUAAAAAAUUAAUAACUUUUUUUAUAUAUAAAAUAAUAAAAUUUUGUACAAUAUGAUGUAUAACAUAUGAAAAAAAAUUACAAAAUAAAUUACAAUUAUUAAACAAUAUUACAUUAUAUAACAACGAAAAGUAUACAUUUCAAUUUAAUUUUUUAAAUAAUAAAUAAUAAUAAAAUUUUAAUAGUAUACUAGAGAUAUAAAAAAUAAUAAAGAAUAAAGAAUAAAAAUCUCAUAAUCAAGAAAAAGAUAUUAAAAUAAAAUUAUUUCUUAUUUCUUAUAUGUAUAUAAAAAAUAAAAAAUAAAAUAUUUUAACAAUUAUUUUAUUAAUGCAUCAAAUAAAAUAUCUUUCACUAAUUAAUUAAGUAUAGUCUUAUUAUAUUAAAAUAUAAAUUAAAUAUAUAACUAAGACAAACCAUCCUAUAUAGAUUAAAUUUUUUAUAGAUACAAAAAGAAUUUGAAAGAACAGAAAGUAAAAAAUUUAAAAGAAUAAUGAAUAUAAAAUAAAUAAAUAAAUCCUGUAUCAAAUUAAUAAAUUUUAUAUUAAUAAUGUUUUAAAUAUAUACAUAUAUAUAUAUAUAUAUAUAUAUAUAUAUAUUUAUUUAGUUUAUAGAUUUUUUUUUAUUUUAAUAUACUUAUUUAAUUUUUUUCAUAUAUAUUCUAUAAAUUUGAUAGAAAUAGAAAAUUAUUAUUUUAAAGAAUAUGAUACUAAUAAUAUUUAUAUUUAAAAAUCGAUGUCUAUAUAUAUAUAUAUAUAUAAAUAUUAAAAUAAUCUAAAUAUUUACUAAAUUGACCUACCUUAUUGUAAAAAAUGAUGAAUUUGAAAUAAGAGCUAGGAACAUGGAGAAGAGAACAAGAGGUGUUGGGAUAAAAAAUCUAAGAAUGAAGAGAGCAAGGACUUAAAAAGUGGGAGGUUAAGAUAAAGGCCAUGAUUGUAUGCAUAGUUUCUAGAGAUGAUUAAGUUUUUUAAUAAUAGUGUAAGCCCAUAUUUCACCAUUCAAUGAAAUUGAUGCCAUACAAUAAGUUCAAGAGGUGGAAUGAAAGAACUUCCAAUUGUAUAAUUGCUAAAUUAAUUUAAAUCUUGGUGUUUGUAAUUUAAUUAACUUUAAGUCUUUUAAGCAAUGAUUGCCUAAAUUAAUAAAAAUAUUUCAUGAAAUUUUCUAUGGUCUUCCAAGGCUAUUUGCAUGAUUUUUACUUAAAUCUUAAUGGUUUGUUUAAGAUCAUUUAUAUGGUCCUUAUUUAACUAUUAAAUUUUAUGUUAUUAUAAAAUUAUAAUUAAUUAGAAAAAAAUAAUAAUUUAAAACUUAUAGAUUAUUACUCCUUAGAUAAUUGUUGUUAAAAAUAAUUGAUCAAGUUAUUAUGAUUGAUCUAUAAUAAAAGUAAAAAUCUUAAAGUUGAAAUUUUAAAAAAAAAAGAAAAAAAGAGAUUAAAGAUUAAAAGUUAAAGAUUUAAAAUUAAAAUCCAAAAUAAAAUAUAAAAUUUACAAGUUAUUAGAAGAAUAAAAAUCAAAAUGGAACCAAAGAAAGAUAAAAGCAAAAGUACAUUGAUAAAGCCUAAAAAUUGAGGGCAGCAAACCCCCUUCUACUCCAAAGUUUUCCAAAAAUUGAAAUUAGCUCCAAAGUAAAUGGUUUUUUAGUUUUUUUGCAAGAUAACUCAAAGGCACUUCUGCUCCAAUGAUUUUUAAUUCAAUCUAGUACCUAAACCGAAAGAAAUACUCCUUCAAAGUUGAGUGACUGAGAUUGCCAUGGUAGGCAACCUCCCUCUACUUGGAAAUUCAUCAAAAAUUCAAUUCAUCAAAAAUUCAGUGAAUUUGGUGCCAUUAAAAGCUUAGCUUAAAGAUACACUUACUCCCAAUAAUCCAAUUGGGAGGCACUAAGAAAUAUCUUUUCAAAAGUGGUUGAUCUAAACUGCCAAGGUAGUUGAUCCCCUUGCAUUCAAAAUUUCUCCAAAAUUCCUCCUUAUUCCAAAUCGAGCGAGUCUUACCUUACUAGAAAGCUUUUACCAAAAGCUAAAAUUAUGGAAAAAAGUCACAUUAAAAAUAAAAGAAAUUGAAUGACUGAAUGAGUGAAAUUUGAGGCUCUUAGAACCCUUAGAGUAUUUGGAAGGCCAAGGGAGCUAUCUACCACAAUGUAGUAUGUUUUAAAAUCCAAUAACCAACAUUCACUUCUCAAGAUUCAUGCACAUACACCCACAGAAUUCACAAUGAGAUUCAAAAUCAAAAAUAAAAUUAUGAUCAUAGUUUAAGACCAAAAUUUGGUAUGGUGUUGCCCUUCACCUAAAUUAGAGAAGGAGAAGGCAUGGAGAACCAAUCCACUUCUAUACAAUUGAGAUGUGGCUUGUGGAAGGGUGGCCACAUCUCCUCCCUUGAUCUCUAAGAUCCUUAAUGUAGAUCUAUGGCCUUCAUCCAUCCAAGAGCUAAUUUCGUUACCAAGGCUGAUGGUUCAUGUAAGUGGUCAAAGAAAGAAUUUUUUGGUAAUUCUAACUUCACCAUUGUGUUCAAAACACCUUUUUAUGCUAAAAUCGACUACUCACAUGCCUCAAUCCAUGCUCAUUUGCAAUUUUUAUGAAAGUUUUUACCUACAAGGAUUUUAGCAAUUCUUGUAAAAUUCUUCAAAAUGAGAAUUUCGUUGCUCCAUUUGUAUUUAGGAGAGGGUGCUGAUCUUGUUUUAUUCAUGCUACAUAGUGAAUCCAUUGCCACCAUUACAUUUGAAAGGUUUCCAUUAAUUAGAAGGACAACUAUGCUGCUUGGAUUUGUUGAAUUUGGAGGAUAAUCUCAAAAUUGUCAUUGCUAAAUUUCAUUGGAUCUUUUAGAAAAUCAUAAUUCUAACUCACUCUAAAUCAUAUGAGAUGAUUGUAGGUGAACUCAUAGGCUCUUAGUCAACCUUCAUAGUAGUGACUAACAACAUCUAAAUUAUUAAAAUUAACUAAGUUGCUAUUCUAAUUUUCUAAUUCUUAUCACUUUGGUUCUAAUUAACCUAACUCAAGGAAUUAGGCUAUGAUUUAUACCAUCAAAGUUUACAAUCUUAAAAAUUCUAUAAAAUAAAAUUCUAUUAAUAUAAAUCCUAAUCUAACAUAUUCAAUUAUCAUAAAAUAAAGAAAUAAAAAAAAUUUAAAUUUAAGAGUGUAAUUGAGAGUUCAUAGAUAGUUACAAUAAGAUGAAUCAAUUUAAUAAAAUGAGGUUGUUAUUUUAAAACUUUUUUAUAUAUAUUAUAAUAUUAAUAAAAUUAUAGCAUUCAACAUAUUGUGUUAAGUAUUAUAGAAAAUAUAUUAAUUUACAAUAUUAUAUAUAUGAAUAUUAUAUUUUAUAAAUAAAUUUUGAAUAUUAUAUUUAAAAUUUAUUUAUUUGAAUUAAUACACACUUCUACUAUAUAAAUUUAUUCUACAUCAUUCAAAGAAAAAAUGUAUUAUUUAGAUUAAUUGAUAAAAAGAUAAAUAAAUUUAUUAUAAUAUUUUAAUAUAAAAAUUAUCCAACUAAAGAAUAUUAGAUUCAAACUAUUAGAUUUUAUUAUAUAUUCUUACUUCUUCUUCAUAAUAAUUGAUGUAUAAUAUUUUGAUAAUAUCAUUAGAAGAUGUUAGUGAUACAAUAAAGAAUCUUUAAGAUACCAUCUUAACUAUUGCAAUUAUUAAAUAUAGUAUUAAUUGAAUAUAUGAUGGAAAUUUUUUUAUAAAAUGGAAUUGUCAAUUUAAAAAAUCUGUCUUAUUUAAAUCAUUUUUUCAAUAAAAAAAUAUACAUAUAUUAUUUUUAUUCAAAAAAAUUAUAAUCGGAGAUAUGAAAUGAUUCUAUUCUACAAAUAUAUAAUCUAUUAAUCACUACAAUGUGAUAUAAGAGAUAUCAAAAGAAGUUAAAAUUGAUUGUAGAUAUAGUUAGAUAUAUAACAAUUAUAAUAUCAAGAAUUUCAAUAAAAAAUGAUGCAUACUAAAAAUAAUUAUUUAAUAUUGAUAAAUUAACUAUAUUUGUUAAAUUAAAAAUAUAAUAAAGGUGAUAAGUGAUAAAUCUAUUAUAAUAAAAUUUUUAUUACAAUCUAUUUUUAAUAAUAAAUAAAAAUAUGGUGAUAAAAAGAAUUCAAUAAAUAUACAUAUAUUAUGACACUUUUUUGAAUGCCAUUAAAGUAUUUAUGUCAAAAAAUUGGAAAAUUUUAGAUUUGAGAUGAAAAAAAAAAUUCUAUCUAAAAUAUUAAAAAAAUAUAAUAAAGUAAUUUUUAAAGAAUUUAAUUUUAUUAUUUAUUAUCAUAAUAAUAAUUAUUAUUUUUACAUUAAUGCAUGAGUAAAAAAAUUCCAUUUUAAAGCAAGGAUUUCUUGUAAGUUGUAAAUACUACAUACCAUAGAAAAUAAUCUUUGAAUUAAAAUUUUUUUUAUUAUAAUUUUUUGAAGCAAUUUAAGCUACAACAAACAAAAAUUAAAACUACACUUUUAAAAUGAUAUCCAUAUAUUAUAAUCUUAUAAUAGAAUAAUUCUUAAAUUCAAAUGAAAAUAUAAUAUAAUUAAUAUUCUUUAAUCAUAUACUAUAAUUGAUAUAUUUAACAAAUACAGUUAAUAUUAUAAAGGUAUUGGAGCCACUAUGAAUAAUAAAUAAAAUUAAAGUUAUAAACUACUAUUUUUCUAUUUUAGUCUUAUAGCUCUAAAUUUGUGAAAUUUGAAGUUAUAUUUCACUCAACAAUAAGUUUAUUAGUAUGAUUUACUUGCUUAUAAUUUAAUUACUAUGGUUUAUAAACAAUACGCACAAUUCAAAAGUUAUUGUAAUAGGCCAAGUUUUAGAAUAUUUUCCUCAUUUAUUGAAGUGGUCUAUAAAUUUAUUAAACAUAUUUUCAUUUUAUAGAAGAUUAGAAUAUAGUAUAGUUUUAAUUUUUUUAGUUUAAUAAAUACUUUAUAUUAUCAUUAGAGAUGGUUAGUUUUUUUUGAAGUUAUUUUCAAAUUCAUCCUUUUACUUUGAAAUCUAUAAUUAUUAUCCAAAUCUUAAAUCUAUAAUAUAUAUGUAAUUUCUAAAUAAUUUUAAUAUUAUUAGUUAUUAAACUAGUAAUAUCAUAAUAUAUAUAUAUAUAUAUAUAUAUAUAUAUAUAUAUUAAAAAUUAUAUGUCAUUUCUCUAAAUAUAAUGAAAUCAAGAUAAUAUACAAUUAACAAUCAAAAUUCGAAUAAGUUUAUUUUGUGAUUCUUAUAUUAAAUAACUUUUUGAUUUUUAUUUUAAAAUUAGUUGAACUUGGUCUAAUAAUUCUUUAAAUUUUUAUCUUUUUUUUGCUAAAUCUUAAUAAAAAUAUAAACUUGUAGUUUUCAUAUAUAAAAAAUAAAUAUCUACAUUUACAUAUUUUUAAAAGUAUACUUAUAUUUUGUAAAUUUAUUAAGACAUUUCUUAGUAUAUUCUUAUUUCUUUUAAGAAGUAACUUGGUUGUUGAUGGAAGCUUAAGUGUAGGUUGUUAGGUUAACUUUGUUGAUUUUUUUUAUUUGAUCAUAUAUUUGUAAUAAAAUGAUCUUCAUUAUUUUUAUCUUAGUACAAUAUCAAAAUAAAAGUAGAAACUUAUAAAAGAUAUGAACCACAAAUAAUUAAAAUGUCAAUACAAUCCUAUGUUACUUAAAAAGAGUAGAUAUUUAUUUUGAAAUAAUAUAAUAUUUCAACUAAAAUAGCUAUCACUGAAAACAAAAAGAUUAGAGACUCACUUUUAAUUCCAUAUAUACUAUCUAACUAAUAGCUAUGUAGUGAUAUUUUAUAAGACCUCCAAUAUGUAUCAAACUUAUGAGAUACAUGUCUAAUUUGCAAAACAAGCUUUUUAUAUAUGGGCAAUAUGGCCAAUUUGUACUAUAAGUCACCAACAUAUAUAACACAAGGCCAAUGUAUUGGCAAAGUUUUUAAUUUAUUAAUUAUCUAUGAAUAUGUACUAAGUUAUUUUUGCGUGUAUAAAGCUUCUAAGAAGUUAUCUACAAAAUAUUAUCAAAUUUAUUUUCUUCUACUUACUUCUAUCUUAUUGCUGUAAUCUAAAUAAAUAUACAAGUCUAUGAUAUUUCUUCUUCUUCUUCUCUUCCUUGGUUCCUCCUUUCUUCUAAAGACAAGUUCUAUAAAGAAUUUUGUUCACAUAUUGAAGAAUUGUAAGAUACAACAAAUUAUAUUUAUUACAUAUUUUGAUCUUUAUUUUCUUUGAAGAUAAAUUGAUAAGUCUUCUCAACUAUCAAUAGUGUUCUAUAUCAUAGCAAAAAGAUCACUUUAUUAUUUGAUUAUUAAUGAGGCUUUUAUGACUUUGUUCAAAUUAAAACUCUUCAAAUACCAUUAACAACCAUCUAUAUCUUCUAUAUAUACAUGCUUAGUUUUUUUAUUAAACAUAUAUCAAAUUUUUAAAUAUUUUUUUUUUCUAUAAAACAAAUUGAUACUCAUAAAUCUACUAAGGUAGAGACUUUAUAAUUUUUUGGUCCUAAAAAAUCAUCUAUUGUAAAUUAAAGUAAGGGAUUUGAGAAAAAAAUAAGAUCUUCAUAAGAUAUUAUAUAAGAUUCUUGCAAUACUAUCAUUAUUAUAGCUAGACAAACAUAUUUUCUAAUUUAUUGUCCUCUUUAGCACCAUGCUCCUCAUUUCGUAAUUGUAUUGGUUCUUUGGAUAAUGUUAAGUAGCAUGUUUAGGUUCUUUGUAUUUCAAGCACAAUUCUUUUUGAUGACAUUGUGUCUUUUCUUGCUUAGUGAGAAGAUUGAAACAUAUUAUAUCAAUUUGCAUAUGUUUUGGCUUUAAUGAAUUAGUUUCUAAAAACUUAGGAGUUGUUAUCAUGACUUGACUUGUUCUUCUCUAAUCAAAACUUUAUUUUUUGAAACUUUCAAAAAGUUAAUUAUCACAUGCAAUGACUUAAGCUAUAAAUUGUUUGAAUAAGUUUGCUUUCAAUAUUGUCAAUAAUAAGUCUUUGAAAUUAUUUUUUAAUCUACAUCAAAAUUUAUUUGUAAAGACUUUAUUAUUCCAAUCCAAAUUGUGAGCAAGGUUUUGGAAUUUAACAAUAUAUAUGUUAGUUAAUUGUAAUCCUUGUAGUAAAGAUAGGAAUUUGGGAGUUUAACAAUAUAUAUUAUCUAAUUGUGAUCUUAUAUGUGCGACAUAUAGCCAACUUGUAGUACAAGUCACCAACAUAUAUAAUACGUGGCCAAUUUGUUGGCAAAGUUUUCAAUCUACCAAUUAUCUACAAACAUGUAUUAAGUCACCAUUGAUUCUAUACAACUUCUAAGAAGCUUUUUCAUAAGAUUUUAUCAAAUUUACUUCCUUCUAUUUAUUUCCAUUCAAUUACUUUAAUCUAUGUAAAUAUAUAUAUGUUUAUUUUAAUACUCCACAAUCUUCAAUAUAGUUUAGUAUUUGAAAAAUAUAUAUAAAAAUUACUCAAUUAUAAUUAAAAAAAAAAAUAAUACUAUUAUUUUAAUUAAUUCAUAUGAAACUAUAAAAAUUAUAAUUUAACUUAUCAAAUUUGAUGAACAAUUUUAUAUAAAAAAUUUAAAAAUGGUAGAAAAAACUUACUAUUUUAGAAAAAUAUAAAAAAUAAAAUAGCUAUAUUAAGUUAUAAAAAAUUUACAAACAACAAAAGUAAUAAGAUGGAAAGUAGAAAUUGAUGAAAAUAGAAAUUAUUUUAAUUUUUCAUCACACAUACUUAUAAAAUUACAUUCUUUUAAUCUAAUCUUUAAAGAAAAACUUUUAAAUAAGCUACCUAAUACAACCUACUAUCUAAGUUUCUAGAAUAAUCUUUUAAGAAAACUUUCUAAUAACGCUUGCUACAUAAGUGAUUAAAAAAAACUCUUGAAGAAUAUUUCUUAUAGAAGUUUGCUCUUUAAGUUUAAUAAAAAGAUUCUAAGACACCUUCAAAUGUUUUUAGAAAGACAUUAACUUUUUUAUAAGACACUAAACUUUCCAAAUGACUUAAAAGUCUAUAUUAGAUAAAGAUUUGUAAUUUAAAUACUUUGAAAUUGUAUGUAUAUAUGUAUAUAUACACACUUUUUCUUAUUCUUUUAUAAGAUUUUUACUUGUUGUCUAUUUUUAUACUUAAAAUUGAUAUGCAUAUAUUAAUUUAUACUUAACAUAGUGACACAUCCACUAUUUGUAUCAAAUAUGUAAUUUGUACAAUAAUGGGAUUUGUUUAAGAUAAUGGAGGACUGUACAGUGGAUAAUUAAGUACCUUUGCUGUUCAUAAUAAAAGACAUGUUCUAUUGAUUCGACAUUGUAACUUCAAAUUGAACGACAUUCAGAGAAACAGAUGAAACCAAUUCGGACUUAAAUAUAUGCUUAAGAUACUUAAGCGCUGAUUAAUAAUUUGCACACUUGGGUUCGCAAAUUGUACGCUCUUUGCCUGUUCACCCCCAUGCAAUUGCAUGCAUUCGAUGGACUUGAUGUGUGGAUCAUUGCGUUGAUGAGAUAAUGUUGGUGCUGCGGCGUUUGUUUAAGUCACCGAAGAAGGGGACGAUGUGUUGUGAGUUGUUGAGAUUCGCGUUAAUGUUGCCCUGAGGAUCUGAACUGAGGUAUCUCACAUUGAAUCCGGCCUCACGAGAUUGUUUUGUUUCAUUCCAGAAUCGUGCUUCAGUGCCUAUGCUGCGACAAAUUGCUCCCUGAAAAGUCCUAAUUGGGAUUGUCGGAGUGGAAGAGUGGAGGUUUGCAACAUGUGGUGAGUUGGGUCCCACUUCAGUGUGCAUUUUGUAACCCACUUCCUGUGUUCUUGGAUUCAUUUCGCCAGGGUUUAGAUCGUGGGGGCGUCUUGUCAGAGAAACUUUCGGCGCUUUCCUGUUGUAGAUGUCAUAAAUGUGCUGCAUCACAGAGUAGCUUGCUGGUAUCAAUGUCGGUUACAAGGCGUCGCGCCGAGUUGUCACGCUUAAUAUAGUUGACCUAUCUCUGGGGCACAACUUUUGUCACUCAGAAGCACGUACAGUAACACCAGCAGUGAAGCACUAAAUUAAUCUGUACGAAUUUGUCGCAGCAUUGGCACUGAAGCACGAUUCGGGAAUGAAACUGUGGGGUUUAGGAACCGUGUCCAUUGUGUACUGCUGCUCAUGUGCUCCUGAUUCUUGGUGCAUCACCAGCACCUCCGAAACCACAUUGAAUUUGAAACGGAUUGGUCUCGAUGUGACUCUCGACGUUAGGCAAAAGUGCAAUCAAACUGACGCUACGAAGUUGCUGCCAAGAUCAAAGUUGAGGAUGAAGCGGCCUGGAUUUAGGGAAUAUCGCACGUGCUUUCUGUAGCUCUGGCUUUAGGGGGACGUUGGGAGUCAUGCCGUUGAAUUGGUCUUCAACGUUUAACGGAUUCGCCCAUAUUGCCUGUCAUUCUCCUUUAUAGAGAUGUUAGUAAGCAUCAACAUUCUUCCCAAUCAUCGUACUCUCCGUUUCGUUCGAAUGCCAAGACUCCAGGUUGAAGUUGGUAGUUGCCGGGAAAAACUUCCGGAGUUAUUUUGUCGAGUAUGGGGUGGUUUUUGAGCUCAACGGUGCACUGUGGUUUGAUGUGUUGUUGAGUUUUGUUGAAGUUCAACAAGGAGAAGCCAUUUUGGAGCUUAGGUCCGGGAGUUGACAUGAGGAAGCAUAAGGAAGGAGGUGGGAUCGCCAACAGACUGCGAAGCAACAUAAAUGGGACGAAGCGAGAGCUAGGAUGGAAGAUGAUUUACAUUGUAUCCGCGAUGGCAUGGAUUGGCCUCUUGCAGCUAGUUGUUGUAGAGCACCCUCUUAACCCCUGGUUUCAUCAAUCGGCGACUACUGCACCAAUCUUCAAAGAGACGUCGUCCAGUCACUUAUCUUCCGAGGCAAAUUCAUCGCUCAAGCGAAGCAACACCUUGAUAGUAGACGUUGAGACAUCAACACCCCGAGUUCAGAUUGCGACGGAGAAACCAGGGGUGUUCACGAUCCCCCCUGCACUUAAAUCUCCAAAGAAUGUGAACCUGUUGAAAUUCAAUCCAGAGAAUACGUUCCUGCCUUUGAAGGAUGUGAAGGAGUCAGGCUUGUCGGAUACGGACACCAACUGGUUCAUGAGUGGGCUAAGGUGGACGCCCAAGCUCGGCAACGGUGAGACCUUCGACCUCCCGAAGGAUGAUUCCAAGGGUAGAAUCUUGUGCGUGAGAGGAAGGGAUAUGCAAGAUGGGACCAAGAAUGGUUAUGGUUUGUUCAAAAAGAGGAGAUUGCCGAGGGGCGCAAUCUUUCGGGAACAUACGACUUUUAUCGCAGAUAAUUACUGGGAUUAUAACAAUCCAUGGCACUCAAUGUCGGCUCUGGCGAACUUCAUAACAUGGCGCUUGGAGAACAGCUGCUCGACGCCGGAUCGGUUGCUGCUUUACCAUGCUGGGGAACUCGUCACUUCCAUGGGGCCGUGGAUCUCGCAUGUCAUGCAAGCAGCGUUCAUGAAAUUUAUUCCCAUCGAAACCCUAGAGUCUACCCACGGGUCCAACUCCCCCGUCUGUUUUGAGCGCGCUGUAAUCCAACGACGAGGCUUAGGGAAGGUGGACAAAGUGCACAUCAAUGCUGCAUUUGACGUACUGCGGUGUAAAGCGAGGGCAUAUUGUGGCGUCAAACGGUCAGCAGAUCGAAGCGCUGCCAGUGUGGAGGUUUUGCUGUUCAUGAGAACGGGACCAAGGUCAUUCCAAAACGAGACUGCGGUUGCAAAUACCGUCCGGAGCGAAUGUGCAAAAUAUCCUAGUUGUAAUAUGCGUGUCGUGAACUCCGCAAACCUCACAUUCUGCGAGCAGGUUGAAGUGAUGACCAACACUGACGUGUUGGUUACCGUGCAUGGAGCGCAGAUGACCAACAUGAUGUUCAUGGAACCGGGCUCCCGGGUGAUGGAGAUGUUUCCCAAAGGAUGGCUGGAGCUUGCCGGAGUGGGGCAGGAGAUUUAUAAGUGGCAUGCCGAUUGGACCAGAGUCAUACAUGCGGGCAGAUGGAGAGACCCCGAAGGACCGGAGUGUCCAUAUCCCAGGACGGAGACGUUGGAGUGUUUCCUGUUCUUCAAGGAUCGGCAAGUGGGGUUGAACGCAACCUUCUUGGCUGAUUGGAUGGGUUCUGUUUUAAGAGAUUUCGGAAUGACCACACGCAGUGGGGAGCAGCAGGAUGGUGUGCAGAGUGAUUGUGCCUGUGAUAUGGGACGUCACAGCUUUACAGCUUAGUGAACCAAAAAUUUUCCCAAGGAAUUUAUCUUUCUCUCCCUCAUAUUGAAUGCACAGAAUAGUUUGUUUUCACGGCUCAUGUCUGCCGAGAAAGUGAAACCCAAGCCUUUUUGGUGAAUAGUUUAGGAGAAGAUGAUCACUCUAUGCAAGCGGUAGCAAUCCAGCGAAUAAUCGUUGCAAAAAUAACUUUCGAGAGACCUGUACAGAAAGAUGAUUCAUAGACGAAAGAUAAUUUAUUUAAACAACACUUUCUUUCUACAUGUGUCGAGCAGAGCAACAAAUGUUGCAGGUUUUGACAAGGGGUGUCAUGAGCAUUACUAUGGUCACUUUAGUGUUUCAUGGCCUUAGUUGAUAAACACAAGAUGCCGAAUGAUCGAAAUCAACCGCUAGCUCUUCAGGCUUCGUCGUGUAUGGCUAUUACACAGAUUUUGGUUCCCCUGAUUAUGCAUUUCGACAUCAAGCCAACACUCGUCGACUUUCUGAAGCGAAGAGCUUAGAGCUAGGUUUUCACUCAACCAUGAUAUUUGAGUUGUGCCUAGAUUUUCUGGCUAUGAUCAGCAACACCAUGGCUACUUCCGGCCUGUUUGAGAAUACUGGCCUUCGCGAGGUAUCCUGAGCUGGAAUCAGUGCAACGUACUGCGUCCAACAGUAAACAGAAUAUGAUCACAGGUAUUCUUUAGCUUUCAAGUUGAAACUUUCUAUGCAGCAUGGAGAUGAUUCUAAAAGGGACUUCCGCAAAGCAUUUCCCGAGAAAUCUAUUCUUCUCAUAGGACUAAAUCUUAAGAAAGGAGUGCAGACCUUGAUUCGGUGUCCACACCCUUGUUGCUUGCACAGUUACAUUAAGGAAUAUGCGGGAGCACGACUGUGUACUUGUUUUCACAGAAGUUUCUUGGCUAGGUUCAUUUGUAAAUUUAAGUUAAUGUAGUGUGGUCAAACAUUUUCAAUGCUUGGAUGGCAUUUUAAUUCGCUUUUGAGUAUGUGGAAAUGGAAGGGAGGUGAGAGGGGGGCGGGGGUUUUGGGGUGUGGUGGGAGCGGGGACAAACCUGGCGUGCGGGUGAGUGUAAGCCAUCUGAUGAGGGCCGCGACCGCGAAGAUGUAGCUCAGAUGGUGGAGCGGUAGAGCAAGAGCAGAGCGCAGCAAGGCGAUUGAGCAAUGGCGGCAACAGGUUCUCAAAUAGAUAUAGUCACUAUGUGUCGCGAUUUGUAAUAUCUAACUUCCUACCAAUUUUUUGCAGUCGAUUUGAGAUUCAUAGUUCCUAGGACUAUUAUAGUAUGCUCCCAUACAACCUGCCUAUGUUUCACAUACAGUGAUUCAAAACAGAUGAGAGCCCCGUUUUGAUAGCUAUGGUACUAAAGGUGGCACCACAUGCUUGAUGCCCAUGCACUUGGAAACCUAAUGCCCCCCAACAAGGGACAAUGCAACAUAGUCAAAGUGCUUUGUGGAUAUGCUACAUGUGAUCUUUUCUACCAAUGAACUCUACAACAUGUGAUCUUUUCUACCAAUGAACUCUACAACAUCAAAACUAUCCUUAACAAAGCAAUGUAGCUAACAAUUAUUAGUCAUAUUGCAAGCAAAAGCCACCUUGAAAGAAUGGACAACCACCACUUUGCAUCAAACAAUGGAGACAGGCUCCUUAAUAAGCAAUGGCUUCUUCAAAGUCACCUUCUCAUCAUGGGAUAGAGUCCAAUAUACCUUCAAGAUAUAAAGGUAAAGAGAUACUUUUUAUCCCAUAGAUCCCUUUUUUUCCACUAAUAACAAAGACUCACAUAGAUUCAUCUCUCUUACCAAGUCAAAGUCAAGUUCUUAAUUCUUAGCCAAUAGCUUGGUCACAAGUAGUGGCUUUGGAUCAUAGCCUCUAGCCUAGAAGAAGUAUUGUUUUUCAAAAUCUCUUUUCACCAAACUCAAUAGAUCUAUUAAGUACACUAAUGGGAGUAUCAAAUGAAUCUAUGAGAGCUCCUCCAUCCAACUAGUCUACUCCAACACAUCCUAGAUUAAAGUUGAUCAUUACAUAAGAGGACAAUUCUUCCACCUACAAUAAACCUAUUAUUCCCCUUCUGUAAUAGAUGUUCGUUGGAGUCAUGCAACCAACACAAAUAAGACACAUACUAGCUUUGACACAAGAGUGGGAAUCUACAUCAUUAAAUACAAGUAAAGAAUACAUAAUGGACCACAUCAAUGCUCCACUUUCAGCACAAAGAUAAGAUGUCCCACCUUGAUCUAAUUAAGUUCUAGCCACAUCUCUCCCUCCAUACAUACAUACAUACAUAUAUAUAUAUAUAUAUAUAUAUAUAUAUAUAUCAAUAUAGAAAUCACCAACCAUGUUACACAAGAAAAUGGAUUUCAAUUUUUUUGGAAAAAGAGACCAACAAAGAGUUGUCUCUAAUCCAAACACACAAUCUUAUUAACAUCACGGGACUCAAGCCCAAACAAAUCCAACUACAAGAUGACAUCCUUUUUUGAGGAAUUUUUCUAAGUCAUCUCCUUCACUUUCCAUCGAAAUACACUAAUCACAAGAUGCAAGGUAUUUUCUAUUUUGUUCAAAACAACUAAGAAUCUAACAAACUAUUACUACUACAGAGCAUUAAUAGAUUAGAUCGUAUUUGGAUGGCAACCAAUAGCAUUUCAACAAGACUUCAUCCUUAAAGACUAAGUCAAAUCCUAAUUAAAUCCUAAUGAAUCUUAACAAAAUCCUAGGUCAAAUCCUAAUAAAAUCCUAAUGAAAUUCUAAACAUUAGACCAAUUUUAAUGAACCUUAAUGAAAUCCUAGACAAACCUUAGACAAACUCUAGUUAAAUCCUAAUCAAAUCCAAACAAAAUCCUAAAUCCUAACCAAAUCCUAUAUCCUAAACCAAUUCUAAUCAAUCAUUAAUUAAAUCUUAAAUCUUAAAUAAAAUUCUUAAUAAUCCUAUAGCAGAUUAAAAAUUUAAUAAUAAAUAAUUGGAUUGUCAAUUAUGACUCAAACUUUACAUACCUUAUAAAAAUUAAGUCAACAACAAGCACAAAUUUUUUGAAGAAGAUUGCACAUACCAAAUAGAUGAUAAAUCCUAGAAUCUACUCAGGUAUUGGUUGGCUUCCUUCUCUAAUCUUAAUACCAAUCUUCCUCAUCCAAAAUCUCUUAAUUUUGGUAUUAAAUAUCUUUUAAUUUUUUUCAUAUAUAUUGAAAAUCAAGUCUAUUACUCAUACAAAUAAAUUUUACUUCAAUCCAACUAGCAGAUUGCUAAACGUUUUAAAAACCCUCACUAAUCCUCAAAAUCCCAAUUUUGAGACCCCAACCCAUUUAAACUUCUAUAUCCUUUAAUCUAACUAUUUGAUCAUACUCAAAUUUACAAUUUGUCAUAAGAACAACUGUAAACACAAAUCCACAAAUUUUCACUUGUAGAUCUACUACCAAACUCACAAAUUUUUCUCAAAUGUAAAUCUUUUUUUUAUUUCACAAAACUAGAUUCACCAAAAAUAACCCUAACUUGGAAAAACUCUUAUAAAAGCAUAAUAAAUUUAAAUUGCCCAAAAUCAAUGCUCAAAAAAAUUCUAUAAAGUCUUCUCUCAAAUCUCACUAUUUGAUUUGCAAAAAAACCGUGGAGUCGUUGUAGGUGCAUAGUUUUGUGCCUUGAGGUCUGAUUUUGACCUAAGUUGACAACCAAUCUUCUUUGCAUAUCAAUUUUUGGUAAUUUGAAGUAAGUUUUACUUUAAUCUAUUGUUAAUUUUCUUUUAAAUAUGUCUAUAUUAAUUUCUUAUCUCAUUUACUUUAAUUUGACUCAUUUAUGCUUCUAUAAAGUAAAUAAAAGUCUCUUCUACAAAAAGUAGCAUUAAAAGUAAACAUUUUACUAUCUUUCUAUAAUUUAUCAUUUUUUUUUUACUACAUCUUUCUAUUCAGCUCUUCUAUAAUAACAUCCAUUUUUACUUCUAUUUUUUUACCAUAUAGUCAUGUUAUCAUAUGACACCAUAAUCUUUCUUGAAAAGCACAUCCACAAUGUGAGGUUAUUUUCUUGCAAGAACACCACUACCAUAUUGAAUAUUGCAUGUAGCAAACUACCCAAUUGCAAUUCAAAGGAGGCAAAAGUUUUUGGAACAACUCCACCUGUUUUUAGGAUGGACAAUCAUUUCUAUAUUACACAAGCUAGCCCCUUGAGUCUGCAACUAUGGAGAUAUCAUUGAAUCCAAAGUUCAAUUUCUGAUCAUAGAAAUCAAUAACAAUCCCAUUGGCAGUAUCAACCUAUAUAGACAAUAAGUACAAUUUUGGAAUCUAUUCUAUCAUUUUGGGUUGGCACACAAUAUCAGCAUUGCAAGGAAUUGAAUCACCUCACUAGCAUCAACCUCCAAGCAAUAAUACCCGCAGAAGCAAUACAAGAAGCAAGAAUAAUCCUCAAAUGUCCAUUGGAAAACAUAAUCAAAUAUAAUCUAAUUGAACUCUUGAAUACCAAAUCUAUAAUAUUGACGCACUUGGAAGGCACCUCUUAAUCUCUAACAAUAAAUUCCAAGGAAUGGCUAUGGUGCAAACAGAGAUCUAUACCGAUCGCACUUUUCUACAACUACACCACAAAACGGGGGUACGGCAUCAUUCCACAGCAACAAUGUCAAUAAGAUGGCCUUCUACAAGAGCAUGCAGAUUAGAUGCUACUCCCCAAUCCAACACAAACAUUACUUUGCUAGACUCUAGAAUCCAUGGCUGUGCCAAAAAAUUUCAGCCAUGGUGUGGCUAUUGAUUGCCAAAGGCCUUUCAAUGGCAAAUGGAGACAAAAAAUCCAUUACUCAAGAAGGUGCAACCUCUGUACAAGGCAGAUGCUAGAAAUGGCGAAACACACAUUCUUUACCUGCCCGCAAGUCUCAACAACUUGCGACAAGUUACAAGUAUUUGAAGAUUAACAGACCCCUCCACUGCUAACCUCACAUGGAGAUCUGCGCUACACAGGAAACUCCCCAUGCCCAACCACAACCCAAACACACAUGAUGACUUCACUUUCUGAAACGUAGGCAAUCGGUGUUUUAUCACCAAGAGCACCCCGUGGGACAUCCUUUGGUGGGCCAUAAUCUAAUACAUUUGGUGCCAAAAAUGCAAAGACGACCUAAGGGAAGGCCAAUUCCAUCUCGGAAUAGCACUCUACCGAGCUUAGAAAAUAACAGUCUAGGUCGAAAUGAGAGCUUGGGCAGAACUCCAAAAGUUCAAGCACUACCAAUCACUUGAGCAACACAAAACAAUAGAAUCCAAAUUCCCAGAGAUAUGGUUGGAGUCUGAAAUUUUUUGCGCAAGGCAAACUCCACGCAAAUGGAAAUCUCUCACGCACCGCAAUUUCCUCCUCAAAGACCUUGCCAACCGGAUGCAAACAAUCCAUGCAUCGAUCAUCUCUUCAAUAAUGAUCCACGAAAGACUUGGCAGAACUAGAUGCCCUCAACAAAAAUCACCGCAACCCUUGAGUCCCUCCCAGACAAAACCAACGUUAGUGCAACACCACCCGCAAUAACAACCUCAUGCUCACUCGACAUCGUCCAAAGAUAGUGUCAUAAACAUCAGGGAGAAAUUCACAUGGGCGAUGGUAGAAGAGAUCCUUGUACAAAUCAUUUGCAAAAUCAAGCCAUCAAAUGAUGAUCACUCAACACUAAAUGAGUAAUUGGAUCCAAACUGAGUUCCUACGGACGCACGUGCACCCCAGCUCUCCAUCGGCACGCAAAGAAACCGAGCAAGCAUUGACACAUACAUUAGGCUAGCACUUAGGAAAUCCGGAUACAAUCGAGUCUCAAACCUUCCACGCACAGAAUCCCAAAACUCAGUUAUGCUCAGCUUUUCCGGACCUAGAUCUUAGAAUUUGUAGGAAUUUUACGGGCAUGCUUUGCAUGCCACUGUGGAUCAACCCAUUGUAAAAAAAAUUACCAUUUCAAGACCAGAUGUUUUGGCACGUCUCAGCUUAGAUGGUAGAACUACCUAUGGUGCCGAGAGCAUGAACAUGAUCUUUGGGAUGGACAAUUCCACCUCUGGGUAGCCCUCUAUCGAGCAUGGCAAACUACGGUUAGGUGGGAAUGGGCGCCUAGGCCGAACUCCAAAAAUUCAAACAAUGAAGAUCACGCAAACGACACAUGGAGUUGGAAAGCACCUUCCUCUCGAUAUGGACGUGGGCGGACCUAUUUUGCACAGGGCGAUCUCGCCUCCAAUGGAAACCAAUACCGCACCACAACUUCCUACCGCGCGAAUUUGUCAGCCACAUGCAAACGAUAAGAGAGCGCAGCCCCUCACCGGAAACAGAACCUGAGCACCUCGAAGGAACCACCCCCUCCACCGGGCCGCAGACACAAUACGGGAAUUCCGCAACCCCAUCACCUACAUUCCUCACUGCCAACUCCCAAGACCCACGACACAUCCGGAGACAGACAACACGGAAGGCAACGAUCAAACCGCAAACGCCAUGGCAGAGGAAAUCCUCGCGCAAUUCACUACCCCUCUACCACCAAAUCGCGAAGGACACAACGGGACCAGCCUCCUGCAUCAAAACACAACACGGGCCCCAAACUCCUCCCCAACAGGACCAACAACAGUGCAACACCGCCCGCAACGCCACCCCCCGCCUCUGUCCGAAGAUAGCGAAAUGACCAGGGAGCAACUUGCACGAGAGAUGGUAGAAGACAUCCUUGCACAAAUCCUUGCAUUCUUCCACUGUAUUUGCAUUCUCCCAAUUCUGUUGCAUAUCAUGGAAAAAAAAUAAAAGCGUUUCUGAUAUUUCAUCAAUAUGUUGACUAUCAUGUACGAGUUAUGUUGUGACCUUUCCCACUAUGUUACACCAAUUUUUUAAACACAUUAAAAUGUAACACAUGAUCUGGAACAGGGUAGAGGAGUGUGAAGCCACCAAGUAAACAGGUACACCUUUUAACUCUUUUGGGAUCUACGAUCCUAAAACCACACCUUGUUAGCCAUACCGUUGUUCUGUGUAAAUGUGUUGUUCAACUCUUAAGCUUUUUGAGACUGAGCACAUUCCUCCUCUUCAAGCUUUCUCUACCUGCAGUAUCUACAAUGAUUUGCACCAAUUAAGACCUUCGCUACUGUUCUUGGAACCCUUUUUUUUUUUUUUUUUUUUUUUUUUUUAUCGCGGUGUGGAUCGCCGGAAUGACGUGUGUAAUGUCGCCCUGUACAAAACUCAGACCCAAAAGAAUCAAACAUAGUACACCAUGCCGACAUGAAGUAGGCACUCGUGCGGGAUGUUGAGCACCACGCUGCUGUCUCGGCUUAUCCUUCGCAGAAAGGUAUACAUGUAGUUGAUCACCAGCUUCUUGAAAAAUCCUGCAUCCUUUCUCGCUUUCACGAUGUUGUUACCGAGUAUGUACACCACGCCAGCAUCUUUGCAUGCAUUCAGGAAGGCAACUUCGUCUUGCGGAUGCGGGCUGCUGCUGCUGUUGCUGCCGUUGACGCUCAGGUUUGGAAUACUGCAUUCCUGGUUAGCAGACAUCUCGACCGAGUUCGAGGCGGUCUGGGAGUACUGAGUGGAAUAACCGUCGCCGACGCUGUUGCCUCCGCCCAUCAGACUGUGUAAUCUCAGCAUUCUUUGCAACUGAAGCCGGUUUGGAGUGAUCGUCGACGUAGUUGGCACCGUGGCCUCCUCCAUCGGCUGUUGAUCUGGGGUCCAGCUUGCAGCCAUGGACUCCCGGCCUGAGCUCUCUCUCAUAGACUCAAUCUCGACGAAACUGAUUAAGCUUUGAAUUAGCAGUUGCUCGAAGUUGUCAUCUUUCUUGUGGAGGUCUAUGUAGCCGUAACGUGCUGCACAACGGUACAUGGAAUAAGCUCUUGAACCGAUGCGACGGAUUAGAAAUCUCUCAUCUUGUGGUACCGUGUUCACUGGCAGGUAUUUAACGCAGACGAAGACUACGGUGGAAUGGAUGGCGGGGAGAUUGGUGAUGAAAUGCGAGAAUAGCGGCGGCACUCCAUGAGCGAGAUCUGUGUACAUGAGACCGAUUCCGGGGACACGAACGAGGCCGAGGCUAGGUCCAAGCCCAAGCAACCAUCCCACUGAAACCUUGUGCUGCAUCUCAUACUGGUAGCGUUUCAAGGUUCCGUAAUGCCAUGUGCCCAUGACUGUGCCGAAGACCACCGAAAUGACCAGCGGCACCCAGCCUCCUUGAGUUGUCUUGAAUAGGACCGCACUGACAUAAAUUCCCUCGAUUGAUGCGAACACGACAAGGAAUAGCAAGGCAAGGAGGAAGUGCUUCCGCCAAAUGAUGAUUAUCACUAGGGUCAUCAGGAGGGUGGUGACGAUCAUGACCAUCACCACGGCGAUACCUGCACACACGUGGGCAGAACGUGGGUAAAACUUCGAUUUGUUCUUAUUAUUGUCGGCGAGGAAGUCAUAAACUUGAUGGUUUUAGUGGCGCACAAUAGGAAAAAGAGAUUACCGUAAGCAUUUCCGAUUUGGUCCGUGUCUCGGAAACCAGCUGUGACGCAGAGGCAGAGAACCAUAAGAAUCCAGUUGAUUUCGGGGAUAUACACCUGUCCUGCAACAUUAUUUGAUGUGUGCACAACCUUCACUCGAGGAAAGCAUCCCAGAGCUGUCGCCUGCUUCACGAUAGAAAACGUGGCGGAGAUCAUGGCUUGGCUCGCUAUCAUGGCUGAUAUUGUUGCCAGCACGAAGAUUGGCCAGUAAAUACUACCUACACAGAAUCAGCACAGAAAAUUGUGAACCAAGUACAACUAUUUUUAAAUACGUCACAAAAAAAUUAAAUAAAUUAAAUAAAUAAAUCAAACUCCAUUUCCUACAAAGGAUAGUGAUGGCAUUUCUUUUUGCACGAAGAGAUCUAGUACAGCAUGAUGAAAGUCUGACAAGAAAGCUAUGAUCAUAAGGAGUAGAAGACGGCGCUACAUACUCGGCAGUGAGGAAUAAAAGGGAUCGUUAACGUCUUCCAUAUGUUCCACGAGGUAAGCAGCUUGCCCGAGGUAAGUCAGAAAUAAGCACGGGUACACUAGAGAAGUGAAGACAAUCUGCACAGAAACAAUAAAUUUGCUUCAGUGGUGGGGUGAACAAACCUAAGAGCGACUGGUGUGGACAAAGGCUUUGUGGUCAAGUGCAACGAGUCCGCUCGCAUGUUUUCUUUUACCUGAAUAGACCGACAACUGAAAUGGCCCAAGUCGGCAAACAACGCUUCAGUCCCUGCAGUUUGAAGGCCAAACGUAGGAUUCAAAAACUGCUAAGUAGGUUUCAAGUCAUUUGUCCAAUUUAAUUUCUAUUCAGGCUUCAGCUUGAACAACUUGUCUGCAGAAAGAGACGAUAAACAGUUUAUUAUGGGCAUUUUCCUGUAAUAGAAUGAAUCAAAGCCAAGUUGUGGGGUGCAUUCACACCUGUCAUACACAGCACGAUGCCUCCGAGAUGCUCCCACCCCUGUCUUCCAUUCCGUCUGAAGAAGUGUACGAUUUGAAGGGGAUUGAAGGCUAAGAAGAUUGAUUUCUCCCAUUUGAUUAUGUUGUAGCAGCCGAUACAGGCAAGAGAUAGGAACCAAACCAAGAAAAUCGGUGCGAACAAGACUGAGAUUUUCGCUGUGCCGAAGCGCUGUACGCUAAAGAGGAUGACUAAGAUGACGCACGAAAUGCCUGUCACCAAAUCUGCAAGAAUGGCGCUGAGAGAUUAGAGUAAAGUUGAAUGCACGCAACAAUGGAUCGCAAAACUUGAAAGAAAGAAAUAACUGAUCUCGCUGUAAAACUGUUGCUGAGAUAAAUAGACCGCUGCCAAAUGUGGGUUCUUAAGACUGAGAGCUCACAGCCCAGAAUCCAGAAAACUGUGAACUGAAGGUAAAUGCUUACUAGUAUCCAAGGAGGAAGAAGCAGCUUUAAUUCCAACAACUGCCGAUAAGACUGCAGAGCGCAAAAAAUGAAGCAGCAUUAGUCUUCCGGGACACCACCUGUAUCUUCUUCAAGUAAUCACGAACAGAUAGAACACCAUAUUGCGACAUCUUUAGAAGGUCAUCAUAUUGUGAAAAAACAUUUCGCCGAUAUAGAUAGGCGCUCAUCAAAGGCCUUAACCCCUAACUCUCACAGAUAGCCACAAGAAAAAGCUACUGCGAGAAGGAUUCUGAUCAUUUGUUCAUUCGUUAACGGUAAGAGUUUAUUGUGCACCUGAGAUAGACGGGGUUAAUAUGCCGUCGCCGAUAACCAUGCAAGUCCCGAAGAGCACAAUAACCAACAACACUUGCUGCGCAAGCACACUACUUUCCAGCUUCCUCUGAAUCCAGGUUUUGCGGCGGGCGUUGUCUACGACAUACGUGGUAAGCUCCGCAUCGGAAGGGUGUUGAUUUGGCAGGGCGCUUAUAUUACAGUAACGACACAGCAAUGAAUAGAGAGCGAAAGAACCCCCUGCGCAAAACGAGACAAUUUAGAUGAACUAAAUAAUCAUCCUCCAGUAUUUCGCAAGCAAAUCCACUAGGCAAUCAAUACAAGUAAUCAAACCAUCCUCCGAGAUUCCAUACAUUAAAGCAAUUACCUUCGCCAUUGUCAUUUGCUCUGAGCACGAUGAAGACGUAUUUAAUCAAGGGGAUAAUGGUGAGGGUGUAGAUAAUGAGGGAUAGAGCUCCAAUGAUGUCAUCCUCGUUCCUCACUCCUCCAUUAGCAAACGUGCUCUUGAAAACAUACAACGGUGAUGUGCCCAAGUCUCCGUAGACCACCCCAAGGCUCUGAAACGCUAGGCACAACACCACACUCGGAGGCAUAGUCUACAAGGCCCCAAAAACCACAUGUUAGGUCACCCAAGUCAUUCGGAAGCCCUAAGUCAACUCUUUCCCUCACUACAAUGUCAAGCAUGUCCUACUGGAGUUGUUGACAUCUCCUUUGCAUGACGCUCUCAAAAUGCCGGGCCUAUGAGACGCCACGGAGUAAAUGGUCGUAAAUCUUCACAGAAACUAUCACAGAAACUAGCCAAUAUGCGUGGCACGAUGCCCUCCAGAAUCCCUGUCGAAAACCCUCAACCGUGCAGUAACUUCUUAUAGGAAAACCAGGAGUGCGCCGGAACCUUCUCUAAUUCCUACUGGCAUCACUUGGAUCUGGAGAGAUAUUGCUUCUAUAUCAAAUUUGAAAACCUCACGGUAGAGAGAGAAACUCUAUGAUUAAGUUCACUACCAUGCAUUCAGCUGAGAUUCUCCGCAAGCUCAUCUGCAGGAAACGAAAGCUUCACGUACACAACAUACACUGAGAAAACCAACGUUUCUCAAACCAUACAGACUUUACUCAGCAUUAUUAAUCCUUCAAGUUUCAGGCAUGCACUACCUUAGAAAAAAUUCUAAUUGAAUCCUGGAAUCGUAGCCCUUCACAGCCUUGGAACUAGGUCGCAAUUCUGAAUAGCACAUCGAGAAUGACCAGCCUGUGCAUUUUACUUCAUUUUUAUCAUCACUAAGAGCAAAUUUGGAAAGGUGGGAUGUGUUGAGAGAAAGAAAGAAAUAACAGCGAGGUAGGAACGACCUAAUAUCCUGAAGCCUCCUACUAAGUCGCUAUCCGAUUUUGUCCAAACUAAGUCCACUGCAAGGAGUGACGGAAGAAACGACCGACCGCAACAAGGACUACAAUUCACAUUGAACAAAACCAACGCUCAAACCAAACGCCACUGAAUUGUACGCUCCAAGCUCCGACCCUACAUUAUAGCGGCAACAACACUCGACCCCCAAAACCCAGAAUUGCCACUACGAUGCAGCAAAUUCUCUCGUAGCAAGAGCCUUAGUCGAAGGAGUGACACUUCCAUACAAAAAUCCACACAAACCACUUUCGUCUAUGGCCUACACCACAGACGUCCGGCCAAUAUCUGUCCGAAAUUCACACCGACAAGUCGCAGUAAUCUAGAGGUUCAUCAGAAUGCGUUGCGAAUUAGUCACCAAUUGCAUGGAACCCCCCCCCCCGAGUGCUUAAUGCAGAUGAAGUGGCUCAAGAUCUCAGCGAAUGCACGACGCACCUGGUCGCGAUACAUGGACCUAACAUGGUCGGCUUCGGCACCCAGCGGCUGGUCGAUCCGCUGAUCCAUGUCCCACAGGCGCCCUUGGUUGGCCUGCUGGCCGUUGCGACCACCUCUCCCAUCUUCGGCGUCCUCCGACACCGUAGUGGUCGACAUGAUCCUCAGACGGCGAGCACAAUGGCGGGCACACUAGCCACAGUUCCUUCACUCACCACACUGAUCAUUCAGAGCAGGCAAUCGCCAAUCGAGCUCCGAGGCACCACCACGAUGCUUUAAACCGUCCCACGAUUCCCAAUCGAGCCUUGUCCUUGCCCAUGCGACGCCGCAACAUCCGAUGCAGAAUAUAGAAGAUACAAGGUGGGGGCUUCGCCCCCACUUUGCCAGCAUCUCCUCGUGAGCCAGCCCCACCAGUAUGGGCACCGGAUCAAUAUUCCAUUUAUUACUCUACUUGGGAGAAAAUUCGGCCAAUUGAGCCCGGGUUCACGCUAUUGGCGGGAUAAUUUCUUGCUUUUCGAACGACAUACUAGAAUAUCCUAUAGAAACUAAGCCUGAUCUCCAUCAUCUUCUCAGAGAAGGUGCUUCGAAAUCACCGAUAUCCUCUCGAAUGUCUGAAUUGUUCCUGAAAGUGUCAGUGAAUGUGUUGGGGUCCACCUUUCGGCAAUUGAGACAGGCCCCGUGUGGGGACCCGGCAGAGGAAUACACGUGAUCUCGAGGUUCUAAUUUCACUGCAACUCUCUCUCGUUCUCACCCGUCGGGCUCCGAAAACACACCGCCCGCCGCUGGAUGCAAACUUCAUUCAUCCAUGAAUGUAUGUAUUCAUCCAAUUGUUCCGUGCGAAUGAUUCCGUAAGGGUGUAUGAAAGUCAUUCGGUCUUCAUCCGUAACCAUCCAAUUGGAUUCGCCAUUCCGCCUCCACAACUUUUGCUUUGCUAGUUUUCAAAAGUAUAUGGCUUGUUUAAUAAUAAUUAAAAAUUUCCUCGAGAUUAAUAGUGUUGAAAGGACAUUGUUUGUUUGUUUGUUCUUUAUACAAAUACUGAAAUUCAAAAGCGUGAAUGGUCAAUUUAAGCAGGAUUUUGCAUUUGAUGGCCUAUUCUGCCUCCGAAGAACGCUACGCAAAGUUAGUUAGCGUUAUGCAAAUCUGCAUAAUGAUAAAAUAACAAUGAGCUUUUAUAUUUUUAUUAAUUCAGACAUCGAUGUAAACUCAAAAUCCAAGUAUUUCAAGAUUUUGAUAUUGUGUAUGGACAUAAACUACAAAAAAACAAACAAACAAACAUACCGAUUUAUUAGCCAAACACUGGUUCAAAAUGCACUGCACACCUAUGUCUUGGAUAUGAUGUUCAUUAGCUAAAUAAAAUCAAAUAAAGUAGUAUGAACCCAUAUACCCUGGACUUGAUUUUAAAACACACAUACACACAUAUCUAUUUAUAUAUAUAUAUAUAUAUAUAUAUAUAUAUAAGUAUGAAAUCUCAAAUUGCCUUUUUCAGUACUAUGAAACAACAUAUUUAUUUCUAUGGGUGUGCCCUCUGUGGACGGAUUGUGUUCCAAAAAGGGGAAAAAAAUGAUAUCGUAGGCAGUAAUUCUCACUCAAUUGUUGGUGAGAGAGAGAAAGAGAGCAAGAUGAGCCACCUCUCAUUUGGCAUCAAAUCCUCGCAUUUUCGUGGGUGGUGGGUGAGUAGUGGACUCCCACGCGGGAACCCUAAUUUCUAAACAAGAAAGCUCUUUCCUCGCUGCUUCCUUCCUCAGGAGUGCGUGCCAGCAGCUUCCUCGAAAGCUCCCAAAGUCAAUCUGCCCGCUCGUCGCAUCUGCACUGCCACGUGUCCGCGUCGUACACGCCGUAUACUUUGGCGAAUCAUUGUAAGGGGAAUGCCCCAGUAGAGAACAAAGGUUGGAAAUAGGAGACUAGGGAUAGGGAACAAUAAUGGAGAGAUUGGGGACUUAAGACAAAUGCCAGGGACAUGAGAUAGAUCAAAACAAGGAGGGUAUGGCUUUAACAACUCCCUAUAUAAAUUGCAAUCAUAAUAAUUAUUUUUUUGCAUCAUAUUUUCCCACACCCAUCUCUCAUUUUUACUCGGAAAACCAACCUUGAAAUCUGAAGCCUUCAACCAUGGAUUUUACACACAAUCUGACUUUUAAAAGACUUGCACAUUUUAAAUUUCAAUUGGAAAAUUUUAGAAUUCACAAGUACAUAAAAUAGAAUUUAAUAAUUUAAUAAUGUUUAAAUUAAAAUGAGCUGUGUUAUCUUUUAAUUUUAAUUGAAAGAUUAUAAUACAACAUCACUAAUAUUUUAAUCAUAAAACUAUUUCAAAAAGAAGUAGAAAGAAGAAUAAAAAAAUAAAAAUAAAUAAAAACUCUAAUUAAGGUUAUUAUUGCCAUCCAUAAUAGUAAAGAACGGGAGUAAAUGACAAGAGCUAGGAAUGAAGACACAUAAUGACAGUUGAGGACAUGAGAUAAAGGCUGGAAAUAAAGAUAAGGGAUGAGGGUUGAGAAUGAAGACAAGAGAUAAGGAUUGAGAAUGAAGACAUGAAAUGAGGGUUGGGAAUGAGGAUGAGGGCUGAGAAUGAAGAGGGUUAAAGUCAUGGGUAAGAAAGAAGGGAUUAAUGAUAAGGAAUAGAGAUGGAGGAUUGGAGAUGGAAGAUAUACUAAAUUAAUCAUGAAGUUGUAAAGGAAGUGUAGUAUUGACUAAAAAGGGAUGUGGCUUUAACAACUUUAUUUAUUUAUUUAUGCCAAUAAAUAUAAAUAUAAAUAUUUUGGAAUUGAAUCUUACAUGUAAAUCAAAGUUUAAUACUAAAAAUCUUCUAACUUAAGCAAUGGACUUAAAACAUUCAAUAUAGUUGUGUUUUGAAAGAAGUAAUACAAAAACUAUUUGAAUUCUUUACAAAUUUAAGAAAUAUUUAUUCUUUGUGAAAUAUUCAUUAAUGGAUAUAAAUAAUUAUAAGUAAUUAAAUCAAUUGUAUGAUGUAUUGCCUAAAAAACUUAUAUUAAAUAUAUAUAUAUAUAUACACAUAAAUAAUAAUAUUAUUAAAUUAUAAUUUUUUUUGUUUAUUUGAAAAUAAAAUAAUCACCUCUUAUGCCAUGAUGUUUUUCAAUUGGAUUAUAGAUAUGAAACUUAGUGCAUAUAUGGAUAUAUAAUUUAUUAUUUAUUCUCUUUAGAAAAAUAAAUUUGAAAUGAAAAUUUUUCAUUCAAUAAUUUUGAUGAAAUCAUUAUUUAAGUUUAAGUUUACACACAUUAACAUAUGUUUAUAUGCAUAUAAGUAUCUAUAUUUUGUGAAUGUCUCCAGAGUUAUUAUUAUUUUAACAACGACAUAAACUAAAUUUAUUUUUAUUUUUAAAAUAGUUUCCAAAGUAAAUUUUUUAUAUUUAAUUGAUCAAUAGUUAAUUAAUAACUCUUAGUAUUAAGAGUUAAUAGGAAUUUUAAAAUUAAAAUUAAAUUAAAAAAAUUAACUAUUUUUUUUUCUUCAAAAAAAGUAGAGUUUAAGUGGCAUAUUAAAGUCAAACUAUAAUAAAGAUUACCUUGAUAUAAUUUAUUUGAUUCUGUAAGAACAUUUUUAUACUCCUUCAAAAUUACAAAGCUAAUUGUUAAGUUGUUCAUAAUUAGCUUUCUAUACUCUCUUAAGUGUUACGUAUAUAUGGAUAAUAAUUAGAUUUCAUAUUUGCUAGUCAAAUAUACUUAAUUUUGUUCAAAUGAACAUAAAAAUACAAGUGGACUAUCUAAUCACUGCAAGUAGAAACCUUCUGUUCAUUCUAAAAAUAAAAAUAAAAAGUGAUUUCUAACUUCCUACUAAAAAUUACAAACAUGUAUUUAAAUUCUAAUUUUUUAACUUUUAAAAAUUGUUUAUGCAUAAAAGAGCCAUAUUUUUAAGGAUUUUGAAAGUAAUUUGUGAUAUUUGUGAUACUUAUGGCAAAAACAAGUAUGAAGAGAAGAAAAGAAUUUGUAUCUUGUGAAACUUGUUAUAAGAAUUAUCUAACAUAUAUAAUAUAAUCACAUGAUUUGCACAUAAGGAUUUUAUGAAUCUAGUAUAAUUCUGAUGUAUGUUUUUUUAAAUUAGUAUGUAGAAGUUGUUAUUAUUAUUUUUUUGUUUUUACUUCUACAAAACUAAUUUAAAGAUAUUUUGUAUUACAUUUUCAAAAAAUAGAUUUUAAUAUCUUGUUUCUUAAGUUUGAAAGUGAAAAAAUACAUUUCAAGAUAUGAUUUAGUAAUCAUGUUAAACCUUAUUUGGUAGUUUUUUUAAAAAACUGAAUAAUAUCUAAAAUAAGGAAAAACAUGUUUAUUUUUAUUUUUACUUAUUUAAAGUGAGCAUCUAAUCAAGGAACAUCUUCUCUAUGUUACAUUUCAUUUUAUGUCAAGUACAUUUUUCAGUGAAUAAAUAAACAAAUAAAACCUGAUGUACACAAACAGAUCUAGCAUGUCAUAUGUAAAGUAUACGUUAAAUAUAAUUGUAAAUUUUAAUAACAUGUAGAACAUGAUACAUACAUACAUACAUACAUUAAUUUAAAAAUAUUGAUACUUUCUUGUUUCUUUCUAUAAAAAUAAAUUAUAAAGAAAUUGAAGAGUUCCCAAAAUAAUUUUUGAGAAAAAAGCAUAAAAUUCUGCCUCAUUUAAUAAAAAAAUAUUGCAUUCCUAUUUUAGAAAUUUUAUUGUGAUUUUUUUAAAAAUGUUUUUUAGUUCAAAAUUUUAUUUUAAAUUACGCUUUAAAAUUUUAUUUUUAUUCUAAAUUAUAUUUUUCCAUAAAUUAUUUAUGAUAAAAUAAAAUAAAAAAUGAAAGUAAACCAAAUGGAAAGUCUUGGGCGGACACCGGUUAGCUCACGGUAACGCGGGGGCGCAGACGGCCACGGGUUCCCACGGUAACCGAAUCUCAUGCCUACAACCGCGUGGACAAGAGCCAGGGAAUUUGGCGAUGGCGAGGGGGCGAGGGAGGGAGGGAGGGAGGAGGGGUUUGAUCGAUGCUAUACACAGUCGGACCCUUUCCAUGCCUCAAAAUUGCAGUUUGAUGAGUAGGUAAAUCUGCGGCGCACUUGAUGACAAUUGGGUCGUAAGCAUGCUCAGAUGCGUGGCCCACCUGCAGCUCCGAUUCUUGCAUCACUUCCAUCGCCGUGCGCUCUCUGGAGCUGCUGGACUCGUUUUGCCUCGCGAUUCUUCGCUCCUUGGCUACUCGAGGAAUUUCGCUCCGGCUACGUCCAUCGGACGCUGCAGCAGCUACAUUGCCACCGCUGCCUUCACUCGGUUGGAUAUCUCUAGGUGCGAAUGCUCUCCCAUGAGCUCGCGCUGCAUUUUGCUGGGCUUGUAGUUUUUUGUGGGUUAUGUCAAAUUUUCUUUGUGGGAGAGACGAUGUUUCAAUUGUUUAUUUAUUUAUUUGUUUAUUUAUUCGUGUGUGGAGUGUUGUGUUGUGCCAGCUGAAACGUCGGCCUGUGACUCAUGGGUUUGUGGAUUAAUGUGAACUGUUUAGAAGGCAGGUUUGGUGUAAUCUUUGGACUUUAAAUUGGACAGUCCUAAGAGUAUUGGAUUUUUUUUGUUUUAUAUGAAGAAAUAUAUCCGUAGAUACUGUCUUUUGGACAUGCUACAUCUUUUUGAUAAUCGAAACUGUGAGCUUUUUGUUAUGAUUUAGCAAAAUGAACAAUAAAUGUCACCUUGGAAACGAUCAUGUUUUGUUCAACGAUGGGACUUAAUCGGCUCUUUGGAACUGGAUCGCUGAUUGGGGCAUCGGCAGCUGGCUACACGGGGUGUUCUUUGGCGGCAAUAGACAGGGUUUCUAGAUUACAUGGAUAGAAUUGUGUGCACAUUGAUAGCCGCUGAAAGUGCUCAAACUCCUACGUACUGUCGUUCGAUUUGUGUAAAGGAUGGGUUCGUUGCAGCAGAUUACAAUGGAUUUUAUCUUUGAUGCAGAUGUGAAACUCUUGCAUUGGGAAAAACGUCCGCAACCAUCAACGACAUGAAUUUGAGCACGCAAGCUAACACAGGGUUGGCGAAGAGCUUCUGGGCUAGUUGUAAGAGAGAGGCUUAUGCAUCACUCUACCAUCCGUUUGUGGUUGCGUUAGCGGCUGGCACCUUGCCAAAACAAACUUUUCAACGUUACAUGGCACAGGAUGCCUAUUUCUUGGAGGCGUUCAAGAAUGCGUGAGUGUCCAAACCAAUGCUUCCGUCGCAUAGCAGGCAAUUUUUAGAGUAGGAUAGCUUAACAAUCAGCAUCAUAAUGAAUUGCUUUCUUGUUUGUAGGUUUCCUGACAGAGUGAUCUGGACACGUUCUUGCAACACGUCUUCAUAUUCUUAAAGCUUCUUCUUCUUCGCACAGCGUUUUGUUUUGUGUUUUCACUAUUUUGUGGCCCAUCUUCUGACCUUGGAAUCUGCAAUCAUUCCAGGAAUUUGGUGGUCAUGGAACAGUAAGAUUCUAUAUUAAGACACUUAGCAUACAAUCAAACAAUGUUUCUUUAAGUGUAGCUCCUUCCUCAUGUUCCGAAUUUCAUUGAUUGCGGCGCAUACUUUACAGGUAUCAACUGGCUAUGGAAACCACUACAGACGAAGAGGCAAAGGCCAUCAUUGAGUCCCUUCAGAGAGAUGUGCAGGAAGAGCUCAAUUUGCACUCGUCGAUCAUGCAGGUGCUUCGUGAAGUUACAGAAUUCCUUGAAUGUUCCCUCUUGAACGAUAUAUCCAGUACAGUUUCUAGAGAAUUGACCCUUCUGAUCCUAUAAACUUUCCUUUGAUCAUGCAUUACAAUUGUUGUAUCUUCGAUAUUUUUAUUUAUGACUAAGUAGUUUGUCAGGUCGAUUUUGACGUACCUUGGGAGAAUUUUAGAUUCUGGAUGGUUGCUAUAACUCCAGAGAAUGCAAUAGUAAUUGGUUUUUGGGUUAGUGUAACUCGUUGUAUAAAACGAUUAUUAGUCCUGUAAUUGUUGGUAUGUCUGGACCUUAGUAAUGGCGGUAAUUUAUUGUUUGACUGCAGUCUUUGGAUGCUACCGAUCAGAAUUGCUUUGAACCAAACAUGGCAACAACAGCGUAUUGUGAUUUUCUGCUAGCCACAGCUACAGGAAGUAACGAAGCACAAAAAUUUGGAAGCACAAGUGCUCAAAUCAUAACCGCUAUGACUCCUUGCAUGCGGCUAUAUGCAUUUUUGGGGCAGGAGCUCAAAAAACACGUUGAUCAUGUUGCUGACCAUCCUUACCAGGAGUGGAUUGAUACUUACUCUGCUGCAGAGUUCGAGGUGGGAAUCUUGUAUCUGUUGGAAUGACAAGUUUAAAUUAUGCUGCGUAGUCUUCCUAGAAUCAUGCACUAAGCCAAAAUGUUGCUGUGCAUCGUACAUCCUAUUGGGUGAUUUAACUUCUGGAAGUCUCAGCUUUGUUUUCUCUUCUGAAGGAAACUAAUCAUUCAUGCAGGCUGCAGCUUCGAAGAUUGAGCAGCUGCUAGACAAGUUAACUGCUACUUUGACUGGAAAGCAUGAAAUAGCAUUCUUAGAAAGUCUCUAUCUUCAAGCCAUGAACUUGGAGGUGGAUUUCUUCGGUGCUCAGCUGUUAGGGCCUGUGCUCGUACCCUUCCUCAAAUGCCAACCGGCUCCAGAGAGCUAUAUAUUACUUGCGUCUGACUUUGAUUCCACGUGCACGAUAUCUGAUUCAUGCCCCAUAUUGGCAGACCUGACCGUGCAAACUGCGCGAAAAUCUCACGGUGGUCGUUCAGUUGGUGAAUCAGGGGCCAGCUUGUUGAAAAAAAGAUGGGAUGAUCUCGUCAUGCAGUAUAUGGACGAGUAUGAGGACGUUCUGAAGCGAAGCCUGGUGAAAAAAGAUAAUGGUGAGGUACUUGUAACCUUGGAUAUUUUGCACUCCAUUUUUUCGUAAAGGAGAUUUCCUCUCCUGCAAGGCAUGGAAGUUUUGAAGUUCUUGAAAUGUUCCUUUACUGUCCUCUUUCCUAUCCUUACAUUAUGAUGUCGCAGGCAGUGUUAAUGCGCUCAGUGCAGAGAAUCUCCAAGAGUUUCUGAAGGAAAUGUCCAACUUCGAACAGAAGGCCAAUGCGAGGGUCGAAGAGGCUGCAGUUCUAAAAGGCUUAUCUCUGGCUUCGAUUCAAGAAGCUGGAAAAUCCAUGCCUCUUCGUGAGGGCUGUUCUGACUUUUUUAAGCGUCUGGAAUCAGGAGAGGUUCUUGUUGACACAUGUAUAUUGUCUGUGUGCUGGAGCAAAACCUUCAUCGAAGCUGUCUUGGAAAAGGGUAAGUCCUCUGAUACAACUCUCGUCCUCCAGAUUUGGAUCACACGCAUACGCACAUUUAUUAUCAUAUCCCCAAAUGUUUUCUAUUGUUGCUUGAGAAUGAGUUCCUUCUGACGCAUGACUGCUAUUUUCUCAUUCAUGGGGUUUAUUUUUCGCAGGUGAAGUUCGUAUUCCAAACAUCAAUGCCAACGAGCUCGUUUUCGAAGGACGCAUUUCCACCGGUGCUAUUAUCAAAAACGUCGAAACGGCUCUUGACAAGCAAAGACACUUCGUUCAGUUGCUGGAUAAUCUAAAACCAACUCAAGACGUGCUGUCCAUUUAUGUUGGUGAUAGUCUGACUGAUCUUCUCUGCCUAAUCAGAGCAGACCUGGGUAUAGUUCUCGGUGACAGCAGCGCUCUGAAGCAGGUGUAUGGGCCAAAAAUGGCCCCCCUCUUCAUGAAAGCCAUACUCUUGGAGCAGGCAAACAUGCGAGGCAGGCAGCAACCCACAGGUUACGUCUUCACUGUCUCCAGUUGGUAUGAGGUGGAAGCCUUUCUGUUGGGUCCUGCUAGAAACAGACCUUUGUACAUCUAGCUCUAUUUUUUAUGACAAAGAAGAUCACUGUGAUGCUAAAACAAUGUGUUGAGUUGAGUGCCAGUUGAUGUUUCGAUUGUUUUUAUGGCAUUUUCAUUCUUAGCAAAUUAGAAAGCAAGUUCAUUCCAACAUUCUAAUGUUUACAAGGGAUUGAUUGCUAUCAAGUUUUCCUUCAUUGUUCAUUGCUGCCUAAAGGAACCAGUGUUCGAUUUACCUCCAUUUCAUUCGAAGGCUUUGUGUGUUGUUCCUGCACCAUGCUAGCAGUCCUAUUCGUUCGUGUUCACUUCAUUUUCAAUGUAAUUUUUCAUCCUUCACAAUACUUAUUGUUCUUCCAGUUAAAAUAUUAAUUACUAGUGAUGGAUUGAUUGAUGAUUCUGCAAGCAUGAGAUGAAAAUAAAAUUUUAAGUAAUUGUCAAUGUAAAGUUUUAAGAAUCUUUUGUGUACAUUUUUAAUUGAUUCGUAUCAUGAGUGUAUUUUAUAAUACAUAAUAUUAAUUAAAUAUAAUAUAAUCAUGUAUUUAACAUUUAUUUUAUCUCUUUGGUCAACAACAAACUUAAAUCUUACAUAACAUGUUAUGUUUAUUUAUUAAAAUUUUCAUUUAAUAACCACUAAUUAUAUAUAAUUUAUCAUUUUAUUAAAAAACUAGAAAUAAUAUUUUUUAUCAUUGAAGAUAUAUUAAUUAAAUUCAAGUGCUUAUAAAUAAAUAAUUAUAAUUAAUUAAAAAAAUAUUUAUAACAUUUAGUUAUUUUAAAAUCUCACUAUUAGAACUUUUAUUGUAUUAGUUAGAAAUUUUAAUAAGAAAUAAUAAUAGCUCAUUUAUUAUCUAAAUUUCUAUGAACUGUUAUACAUUAAAUAUAGUAUUAUUUUGAAUUCAUGUCAUUAUUUAAUUUAACUUUUAAAUAAAUUAGAUAUAAAUAAAUUAUAUAUAAAUAAAUUAGAUAUAAAUAAAUUAGAUAUAAUUAUUUUUUAAAACUUUGUAAACACUCAAAAAUAGAGAAAUUUAAUUUAAUUAAAUUAUCUGUAUAAAAAUAUUUUUUAACAUUUUAACUUUAACUUUUAUGGAGUAAAAAUAUAGUGGAUAGAAAUGUAGCACCUUGCAUAUUAAGAAACAUAGUAGUGCAUUGACAUGUUCCAAAGAUGGUUAAAACAUUAAACACAACCCAAUUAAAGAUAAGAUCUUUAUACAAGCUUUUGUCUAAAUAUUUGGUUUUAAACAAAACCUAUAUUAUUUCUACAAUAAUAAGAUAAUACUUCUCUUUUAUUGAAGUCAUUCAAAUACAAUAUUUUAAUUAGACUUGGUACUUAUUUCGCAACUUCAAAGACAAAAUUAAGAUGCUUCAAAUGUGCUUCAUAGCUUGUGAAUCUACUAUUUUGUUGUAACACAACUAUUGGAUGAAAGAACAAAAGAACAUCUAUAUUACGAAAGAGCUCAAUUGAAGAUUCAAUAAAAAAAAAUCUUUUAGAAAUUAGAAUUCAAAGAUAAGAAGAAGUAGAAAAAUAGUGUCUAUAAUGUUUUUUUUGUAAAAAGAUAUAAGGAAAAAUAAGGUAUGUAAGCAAAAACAUAACUGUAGGCACCUUCAAAUAAAAGUAAAGCUUAUUUUUUAGCAAUAAAUUAUUCAAAUCUUAGAUUGAUAUAUGGAGACGACUAAUUGUGAACCAAGGUUUAAAUUAGACCCCAAAAUACAAAAUUUCAUGCUUAUGGCAUGUAUAAGGUUCUUUUGUCAAUUACAGAGCAAAAAUAGAGAAUAAUAUUUAAGAAUAUACUAUGUGCAUUGGUUUUGAACAAUUUUAGUUUUUAAUGACUUUGAGAGAGCUAUUCAAAGUCAAGGUUUGAUUUGGAUGACUUUGUCAUUUUAAAAAUAGAAUGAAGUUUAUAUUUUAGAAGAUUUUAUGAAUUAUGUAGUACAUCUAUAUGUUCUUUUUUUUCUUUCUUUCUUUUUUUUUUUUUUUUUUUUUUUUUUUUCUUUUUGCUGAUUUUUUGUUGGAAUUAUACAAUAAACUUGACCUCAAUUGGUAGAUCAAAUUAAAAGUUAUUAUAGUUCAAAUAUAUUAAAAAUAUUAAUAAUUAGAAAUUUGAAGAUCACUAAGGCUUUCUAAGAUUUGCAUCAAUCUAACAUUUUGAUUGAGGUUAAGUUUAUAAAAUUGGUAGGUAACUUGAAUUCUAUUAUCUCUGCAAAUUUUGGAAGGACAUUAACAAUUCUAAAAGAAGAUUUUGGUGUUGGAAGUUCAAUAUCAAGGUUAGAGAAGGAUGCUACCUUACACCUAAAUAAAUUAUUGGUCAUUUUUUUCAAUUUGUAUAUUUGAUUCUCUUUAAUUUUCAUAAUAUUGUUUUCAACCACGAUUUUAAUAAGUAUGUAAACUUUGAAUUAAAAUCAAUGCUAAAUUUUAGGAAAAUUUUCAAAAAUAUCCUUGUAGUUUGCUGAAAUAUCGAGAUUAUCCUUGUAUUCUUGAUAAUUGCAAAAUUGUCUCUCAUAGCUUUGAUAAUAUCUAACCUACCCAUGAUCCUCAUAACCUCUCAUUCAAAAUCCAAAUUUAGUGCGAAUUGGACCCAAAGCGUGUGCUGCACAUACUUCAAUGCAACACUAAACUUGUUUUUCCAUGUGGUCUUAAAUUCUUUGUUGACAAUACUAUUGCUUGCCAUGCUCGCUGCUCAUUGAUAACUUGGUUUUCCACCAUUCAAUUCAAUAAAGCACACGAUAUAAAAUAAGACCACAACCAACUACAACAACAAAUGAAUAUAAUGUUUAUGAUAUAAUAUCAUAAACACUUGAAUUCAAAAGUUAUAUACCGAAUUGGUGGAAUUGUAAUUGUUUUUUAGAAAAUGAAAAUGAAUAAAAGAUAUAAUAGUAUUGUAAUAAUGAAUCUUUAUUACAAUACUAUUAUAUCUUUUAUUCAUUUUAUUAAAAGUACUGUAUAAUUUUUAAAAAAUAUUUAUUAAUAUUAAUCAUUAAAAAUAUAUAUAUAAGUAUAUAUAUAUAUAUAUAUAUAUAUAUUUACAAAAAUAAAGUUAUAAAUCCUAUAAGUUGGAAAUUUGGUUCUAAGAAAAUAAAUUCUACAGCUUAAAAUUAUCUUAUAAUCAAAAAAUAUAUGUGUAUAUAUAUAUAUAUAUAUAUAUAUAUUUAUAAUCUUGAUAUUUCUUGUAGUUAUAAAUUGAUUGUAGAUGAAGCAUUGAGAGUUGUGUAUUAGUAUUAGUUUUGUACACUAGUAUGUUUUUUUAUAGCAACAAUUGAUAUGAUUUACUUAGUUACUUCAAUGAAAAAUCAUCAAAAUUGACAUAUAUACUACAAUAUUAAACAAACUAUAUUUAUGUAAUAACAACUUUGUAUAUUUCUCAGAAACAAAAUCUAAAACUCGUGGAAUAUAAUCCACCCAAUUUGUAAUCCAUAUUCAAAUACGUGUAUAUAAAUAAAUAAAUUGUCAGUAUUGAUUCUAUUUUAACUCUAAUAAGAAGAAUGUAUUAUAUAUUGUGACAAUAGACACACCUUCAAAUUAUUGGUUUGGAGUACAAUUUUUAUUCUAUUUAUUUUUAAUCAUAUAAAAAAAAACAUGAAUAAAAAAGAAUGAGGAACUUGUGGCAUUGGAUGUCUACUACGUGUAGUUCAAACAUGAAUAUUAAAGACAAAUGUGCAUAUCCAAGAGUAUUGAUAAUGUCCCUUCAAAGCUCAUAAUUCAUGACUUUUUUGUAAAUAGUUCAUAAGAAGCAACAUUGUUGAGCUUUAAUGGAAGAGCUCCAUCUAAAAAUAUCCUAAAUUUUGAUUAAUCAGAAUUUAGUAGGAUUCAAUAAGAAUUUGCUAAAGAAUUUGUUAGGGAUAAUUAGUUUAUUUCUGGAUUUAAUAAUUAUUUAUUUGGAAUUUAUUUUAAAUUUAUUAGAAUUCAAUAAGAUGUAUUUAAGAUUUUUAUAAGAUUAUUAGAAUGUACUUAGGAUAUUUUAGAACUUUCUUAGAUUUUUUGAGAUUGCCAAAAAGAUAUUUUUAAACAUCUUAUGUAUUGUUCUUUGGAUAAUAAAUCCAACUUCAAGGUAAGUUAAAAUCCUUCCUUAUUUAGAUGCCUAGUACAUUCUAAGGUCCAAUUUCAUAUUUUUUAACACUAAAAAGUUGUAGAAUAUGUUCUUUAACAAAAACAAAUCCUCUAAGGCUACUUAUAUCUCACUUAAGACAAUAUAAAUAAAAAUAAAAAUUGUUGCAUUUAAAAUAUUCAAUGCUUUAGAUGCCUAAAUUAUAUCACUAAUUAAUCAAAAUUCUAAUCCAACUCAAAACAGAAGCAAAAAAAAAAAAAAAAAAAAAAAAAAAAAAACUUUAGACUAUACCAAUUUUUACAUCAAGCACAUUAUAUUCUAACAUAUUUAAAUACUUAUAUAUUUAUAAUUAUAUGAAAUAUAUAUAUAUAUAUAUAUAUAUAUUAUAAUUAUUUUUUAAGAUCAAUAUCUAAAAUAAACUUUUACUGAUAUUUUUAUUUAUUAAAAAUAUAUAAAUAAUAUAAAAUUAUUCAUAAAAAUUAUAAAAUAAUAUUAUGAUUUUUUAGUGAUUUAUGUAAAAAAUAGGAUUUUAGUUGAUUAAAAUUAAAAUAUUUAUGUAAAAAAUAAUACAAAAAUUUAUAAUAAUAUAGUUUAAAUUUAAUACUAGCAUCUUUAAAAAAUUGUAAGAAAUUUUAGAACUUCUAUUAAAUAAAAAAAAAAUUAAAUUUGUAAUUUUUGGAAAUUUUAUUUAGAAUAAUUUAACCACCUUGGGGGGGGGGGCAUUAUUAAAAAUUGGAGGAAGAUUUAAAAUUUUCAUGAUAUUUCAAGGCUAAUUAGUUAUUUUUAAUACCAUGGUGUCAAGGACAAGAACUCGAUGAAAAAACAAUUCAGACAAGUGUACCUUCACUCAAAAAAAGGUAACAAAAUAUAAAUAAACAAGUAUGUAU